CUGGAACAAUACUUUUCGCGUAAUCUAUAACCCUAUUCCUAUAGAUAAUAACAGGAAUAUGAAGAUACUUGAGAUUUCCGGUAUUAGAAUUAUAAGAGGUGGCUCUUCCAUCGGAGGCAAUCAUAAGAAGCUCGUCAUGUUUCCGAAGUGUCAAUGGAAACUCAAUGCCCUUAAAAGGUCCAGCUGUUAGGUGUUUUGUCCAUGAACUCUUAACUCCGUCAUAGUUAUCCAUUACCCAUAUUUCGAAUAAUCUGGAACGCUCUUCGUAACUAGUGCAAUAAUAAGUGAUGGAUUCAUUAUACAGAAAAAUACCAUCAAGCUUAAAACCAGAUUCUCUCCUAGAAGGCAAUUCUAUCCUAUCGAAUAUCUCAUCACCUAAAUUAAAUGAACAUAUGUAUUCCUCGUCAUCGCUUGAUAACCAAUAACAAAAUCCUUUCAAGUACACUGAACAAGAAUAGGGAUAGCUAUACAAUGAUAAUAUUUUACUUGAUAUAUUUAUCUUAAUCUCUUUCCAAGAGUUAGCAGUUGUUGUGUAUACCUCAGCCGUGUGAGGAAGAGCGGUAUGUUCAAUAUAUGUUUCUUCACCAUCUGAAUACUCGCAAUCAUAAUUUUCUAUAAUUCGCACAACCUUGUAUUCUUUAGCUUUACAAUCAUAGCCAAAUCCCAAUCCUUUAACGGUCGUUUCCAAUCCAAAUUUUCCUUUUCCCCUGGGAAGGGGUAGAAGAAGGCGUGAAUUGGGAAGUUGACUGAAUUCCCCCGUUGCUGGAUUGCACAAAAAAAAAUAUUCCCCUACUGUUACACAGACAAUCCCAUUGCAAUAACCGUGAAUCUCUACUUCAUGAUGGUCUUCCCAUUGCAAUAACGGUACAUUAGUUAGGUCCUCAACAUCAUAAUGAAGGUUGCUCUCAUCACUAUCAAUGGAAAAAUUAAUCAUGGACCAGAAAAAUUCUCGUUUCCAACUAUCGUAAGGGAAAAUGGGCGUCUGAGAACGGUGGAGAAGAAUACACGUGGAGGAUGAUAGUUUGUUGUCCACGGAAUUGUUGAUGUGUUUGGCCACAAAACGAGGACUAUUGAUGAGGGUGCACCAAGAAUUGCGUAUGCAUUUAAAUCGCAUCAGAGACUUGGGUGGCAACCUGGACAGGAUUUCGACCACCCUAUCUUCAGGAGCUUCACUUUCAUGCUCCUGAGACAUUUUGGCAGUUUUGUUCCACAAGAAUUGUUCUCACGUAUAUAUACAGAGGAAAGAACACCACGAGUUUGAGAGCAAAACUAAAUCAAACUCCAAAUCCCUAUGGCCUGGUAAGUCAAGGUUCAAUUGAUAAACAUAUUACCACAUAAGAUGCCAAAGUGCAACAGUACUAAAUAAACUUGGAGUUCCACAACCACAACAUAUUUAGCUAUCAAAGAAAACGGGGGGCCAUCCAGUCAGUUUCGAGUUUUAUGGAGAAUCAUAUGUUCAUAUUUUUAGAUUUUUAGAUUUUUUUUUAUUGAUACAAAAAUGACCAUUCAAAUUUUCACCUUUUUAGACUAAGGUUAAAUUGAUGAUAAGGUGAGCAUGAUAUUCGUAUAUAGGUCAGCGUGUAACAUGACAUGAUUUUAAUUAACAUAGGAAAAUUCAUAUAUUACACAAGUUUUAAUUAAUUAAGCCAAUUUUUUUUCAUUAGAAAUACUAGACGUGGCAUUCGUAUCAUGUUUUCUGUGUUCAUGUCAUUUUUGUGACAUAUCUAAUAGCUUAACGGUUGUGUCGUGUAACACUGUUAAAAUAAAUGGGUAAUGUGACCCGUCCCUUUACCCUUAAAGAAAAUAUUUAUUAAAUCAAUAAAUAAUCAAAUGAAAAACGUAAUACUAAAUUAGUAUCUACAUACCACAUUGUCACAUAAAUAUUACCUCAAAACAUAAAAACAUAUUUGUCUUUCAAGUAUCACAUAGACCAAAAUAAGAGCCUAAUCGAAAAAACAUUAUUACAUUACAACAAAAUAUCAAAUGUUCAAGGAUAUGCACAAUCACUGUUCUAAAAAUCCCCACCUAGCACCGCCUUGGCCUCGCCUAGGCGCUAGAUGGCUAGCCACCGCCCCGAUUAAUGCCUAGGCACUUGAAAAUUAAGAAAUGGUGCCUAGACCUACUGAGGCGCUUGCCUAGACCGCCUAGGCACCCUCCUAGUCCGUCCAAACCCACCUAGGCACUCGCUUAAGUUGUGACUCACUUAGACAGAAACUAGAUAACUUUGCAUUUUAUUUUUCUAAAUAAAUUGUAAGAGACUUGUUGAAUACUUCAAUGAACACACAUUAUAUGCUUGUUCCCCAUUUUUUCAUUAUGUUCCAAUACUUCAUAAUAUAUAUGUAAUUCUAUUUUGUAGUUUAUGAUGAAAUUACAUAUAUUUGAAGUUUAAAUAGAUACUUAUUUACAUGAAACAUAAUGCAUUUACCUAGUCCACCUAGAUGCCCUCCUAAGCCCUGCCUAGCCGCUUAGGCCAUCUCCAACCGAAGGAUCCAGAGGGCCAGAGGGCCGAAAAUAGCCCUAAAACCUUCUCCAACCGAGGGCUAGGCCAGAGGGCUCGAGAAUCUGGGAGGGCCCCAUGGAAUUUCAAAGGGCCAAAGGGCCAAAGGGCUGGCUGCUUCCGGCCAACCAGCCAACCCCGGGCUGGCUAUUUUUUUUUUUUUAUAGUUUUGUUAUUCCUGUCGGUUAUGUUUUUUAAAAAAAAUUCAAAUGAAACGGCUAUUAGCCGUUGCAUUUCAUUUGAUUUUUUUUUUACAUUAUUAUUAUUUUUUUUUAUUUACAAAAUUUUUCAUAUAACUUCUAUUUUUUCCUAUAACUUCUAUUUCACAAAAUUUGAUUCAUAUAUUUUUUUUAAAUUCCAUUUUUUUCCUAUAACUUCUAUUUCACAAAAUUUGUUUCAUAUUUUUUUUUUCCUAUAACUUCUAUUUCACAAAAUUUAUUUCAUUUUUUUUUAAAUUCCUUUUUUUUCCUAUAACUUCUAUUUCACAAAAUUUAUUUCAUAUUGUUUUUUAAAUUCCAUUUUUUUCCUAUAACUUCUAUUUCACAAAAUUUGUUUCAUAUAUUUUUUUUAAAUUCCAUUUUUUUUCCUAUAACUUCUAAAAAGGUCGUACCCAGUGCACAAGGCUCCCGCUUUACGCAGGGUCUGGGAGAGGUGAAUGUCGGCUAGCCUUACCCCCAUUUAUGGAGAGGCUGCUCCCAAGUCUCGAACCCGAGACCUACCGCUCAUGGGCGAAGGCACUUGCCAUUGCACCAAGUGCGACCUCUUUUCCUAUAACUUCUAUUUGACAAAAUUUGUUUCAUAUUUUUUUUAAAUUCUAUUUUUUUUCCUAUAACUUCCUAAGCCAUUAUACAACAUUAAAUUAAAUUAAGUAACAUGAAACAACAUUAAACAAUAUGAAACAACAUUAAAUAACAUUAACCAACAUAAAAAUUAUACAACAUGAAACUUAAACAACAUUUUAGUUGUAGUUUUUAAAUAAUAAAUUAUGUUUGGCCCUAUGGCCCUUUGGCCCUCGGUUGGAGACGAUUUUUUGUGACAGGGCUAAAACGAGCCCUCUAGCCCUUUGGCCCUCGGUUGGAGACGGAGGCAAAUAUGGCCAUGUACUGUGCAUUAAAAUAUUAAUAUCUUGGAGAAUCUUGGAGGGCCAGAGGGCUAAAACGAGCCCUCUGGCCAGCCCUCGGUUAGAGAUGGCCUUAGGUGUUAGGCCCCAGCCCGUCGCCCGACUAGCACCUAACGUCUUUUAGAACCUUGUGCACAAUAAAGGAAGUUGAGCCCUUGAGUUUUCUGCAUCCGCUUAAAUAUCAUGUUUAAAAAAAAAAUUGAAAAAUGAAAUCCUAUGAGAAGAAUAGAGUGUAAACAACAAUCCAUGGUUAAAUAUAAAUCUAGGGUUUAUGGAUAAUAGUGUCACAUUUCAAAGUUGAUCCCUGCAUGAAAGUUGUAAAACUUGUCAUUACGAGUGAUUGUAUUUUUAAAUUUUUUUUUUUACAUUUUCACACUUUUACAUUAAUUUUUAUUAAUUUUGUGCUCAAACAAACAAAGAAACUGUUCAUGACGUUUUGGAGGGUUUUAAAAAUCUAAACGAUAAUGUAACCAUUCUGUAAGCGUAGAGGAUGCAGUCACAAGCGUCUAUAUAUUCUUUCACAUUUUUCAACUUUUACAUUAAUUAUUAUGAAUUUUUAUUUAUUUUUAUCUCCCCCUAAAAACAUAAUUUGUGAGGAUUUGUAUGGUUUUCAAAAUUCAAAUGACGAUGUACCCAUCGUCAAAGUACAAGGGAUGCGAUCAUGAGUGUUUGCAUUUUUUUUCACAUUUUUCACACUUGUAAAUGAAUUAUUAUGAAUUUUUUUAACAUGCUUUGGUAAGUUUAAAUUGCUUUGUAUCUUUAAUGUGUUUGGAAAAAAUUUAAUGUCACCCACUUUUCUUCCAUAAAUAUCAUCAAACACCAACACCACAUCCACAAACACCUUAACACAGCUUCCAAAGCACCCCCAAUUUUUGUACUUCAAUAUAGCAGUUCUAGCUUGGAAGGUAAGGGGAACAAAUGUUGCCCAAAACUCAAAAACACUGCUCCACCGCCUAAAAGUUGAAGGGCAAUUAGUAGGUCCUGAUAUACCCAACUUAGGCCAUCUCCAAUGAAGGAGGGCCAGAGAGCUCGUUCUAGCCCUAUAGCCCUCCAAGAAAUUAAUAUUUUAAUGAACAGUGUCAGGCCAUAUUUCUUGCCAUCUCCAACCAAGGGGCUAGAGGGCCAUAGGUCACACAUAGCCCUAUGACAAAAAACCAUCUCCAACCGAGAGGGCCAAAGGACCAUAGGGCCAAACAUAAUUUAUUAUUUUAAUUGAAUUAAUAUGGUUACUUAAAUAAAACUACCUCAAUAAUUUUUCGAGAUGGAAUGUCAAGAUUUUUCGAGUUGGAAUCUCAACAAUUUUACGUCUCGGAUUUCAAGUGCCACGUGUCUAUCUGUGAGUAACUUUGUAGAUUUUUUGUCGAUAAGGAAUCUCAAUAAUUUUAUGUCUCAAGCUUUGAGUGCCACGUGUCGAUCUAUGAGUAACUUUGCAAAUUUCUUGUCCAUACGUAAUCUCAAUAAUUUUUCAAAUAGGAUUUCAAGUGCCACGCGUCGAGAUGUAAUUGGUUGUGGGAAUUUUAGAUAGGAUUUUAAUCUUCGUGACACUUCUUAUCUUCAGCUUCCAAUGUCCAUCAUUAGGGUGGAUAUUGGCCUAUAAUUCACACACCUUCAGCUUUGCCCUCUCCAAUAUCUCUUUCAAUUCAAGUUUGCAAUGAAUUCCAACUUUGGAUCCUCUUUGGCUUCAAACUGGGGGUCCUUAUCCAAUUCCGAAUUGGAAGAUAAAUGGGAGCAGAUGAGACGAGAAGAUGAAAAGUCCGAUGAAGAAGAUGAAGCAUGGCACAAUGCACCAUAUAUGGCAACCAUGGAUGAGGUCAUGGCGUGUGAGGCAACUGAAGAACAACCUCAAUGCGGUGUAUAACGAAAAGGAUUUUAAAAGUCGCUUCCAGAUGAGGCGUCAUGUCUUUAAGCGUUUACUUCAUGAUGUCCAACAUAUCAAUCAAUACUUUCGACAGAAACUGGACAGAUCAGGGCACCCUGGUUUCUCACCUCAUCAAAAGGUUACUAUUGCACUCCAAAUGCUAGUUUAUGCCUCCUUAGCUGAUGCGAUGGAUGAUACAUAUAGUAUCUUGCUGCAUUCUGUCGCACAGUUGUUUAGCUUUAUAAAGAGGAGUACAUCCGUCAACCAAAUCAAGCAGAUCUCGAUCGGCUCCUUUGCAAAGCUGAAGACCAUGACUUUCCGAGCAUGAUAAGGUCAUUAGAUUGCAUGCAUUAGCAUUGACAGUGUUAAAUGAGCAAGGGGGUCAUAGAAACUUCUUUUUGAACGACUUCACUCAAAUUUGUUUGGAAGCAUAUGCUCCUAUCAACUUACACAGGACACACAAAAGAAGUACUUUGAUCCUAUUAGACGAGGGAGGGUGAAGAAGCUAGGACAGAAGGGUAGAGUUCAAGAGAGUAGAAUGUGUUUAGGAACGUGGAAUAUAGGAACCUUAACGGGAAAAUCUGUGGAAGUAGUGGAAGUUAUGGUGAGGAAAAGGAUAAGUAUUAUGUGCCUACAAGAAACUAAGUGGGUUGGUCUUAAGGCAAAGGAUCUAGAAAACUCAAGUUUUAAACUUUGGUAUUCGGGCACAAAUAAAAUGAGAAAUGGUGUUAGCAUCAUCGUGGACAAGACCUUGACACAAGAUGUUGUAGAUGUCAAAAAGGUAGGAGAUAGAAUUAUGGCAAUCAAGAUUGUAAUAGGACAAGAACUCAUCCAUGUGAUUAAUGCGUACGCACCUCAAGUAGGGUUGGAUAUGAGUUUGAAGGAAAAAUUUUGGGAAGAUCUUAGAGACUUGGUGCAAGGAAUUGCUCAGACGGAGAAGGUAUUUAUAGAAGGAGAUUUAAAUGGACAUGCGGACAAGGAGACAGGCAACUAUGGAGGUUUUCAUGGUGGCCAUGGUUUUGGGGAGAGAAACGAGGAUGGGGAAGCCAUCUUGGAUUUUACAAUGGCAUAUGAUCUCUUCUUAGCCAACACCUUCUUUAAGAAGAGAGAAGAACAUGUGAUCACCUACAAGAGUGGGUCGGCAAAAACACAAAUAGAUUUUCUUCUAAUGAGGAAAGGAGAUCAUAUAACUUGUAAGGAUUGCAAAGUUAUACUGGGAGAGAGCUUAGCUAAUCAACAUCGCUUGUUGGUUAUGGAUGUACAUAUCAAAAGAGAGAGAAAAAAGAACAAGACCUGGAAGUGCCUAAGUACUAAAUGGUGUAAUCUAAAAGGAGAAAAACAAGCCAUUUUCAAAGAGAAAGUAAUCACCCAAUGCAUGUGGGAUAGAGAUAGGGAAGCUAGCCAAAGGUGGGAUUCCAUGGCUAGUUGUAUCCCAAAAGUAGCAAAAGAUGUAUUAUGAGAGUCCAAGGGCUUUGCUCCACACCAAAAUGAAUCUUGGUGGUGGAAUGAGGAGGUACAAACAAAGGUGAAGGCUAAGAAGGAAUGUUGUAAAGCCCUAUACAAGGAUAGGACCACUGAAAAUGGUGAAAUGUAUAGAAUAGUGAAGCAGGAGGCGAAGAAAACUGUGAGAGAAGCUAAGCUAGCGGCUUAUGACGAUAUGUAUAAGCGACUAGAUACCAAAGAAGGAGAGUUGGAUAUCUAUAAACUAGCUAGAGUAAGGGAAAAGAAGACAAGGGACCUAAACCAAGUGAGGUGCAUCAAAGAUGAGGAUGGAAAAGUUCUUACUACAGAGAACGCGGUCAAAGACAGAUGGGGAAGUUAUUUUCAUAAUCUGUUCAAUGAAGGACAUGAAAGGAGUACUUCUUUGGGGGAGUUGAGUAACUCAGAAGAGUGUAAAAACUAUUCCUUUUACCGCAUAAUCAGGAAGGAAGAAGUGGUUGUAGCUUUGAAAAAGAUGAAGCAUAGAAAAGUAGUGGGCCCAAAUGAUAUACCAAUCGAAGUGUGGAAAGUCUUGGGAUAGACGGGUAUAGCAUGGCUCACAAACCUUUUCAAUAGGAUUUUGAAAAUGAAAAAGAUGCCAAAUGAGUGGCGAAAAAGCACUUUGGUGCCUAUCUACAAGAAUAAGGGCGACAUACAAAAUUGCAUGAACUAUAGAGGUAUUAAGCUAAUGAGUCAUACAAUGAAACUCUAGGAGAGAGUCAUUGAGCAUAGAUUGAGGCAAGAGACACGAGUUUUGGACAACCAAUUCGGGUUCAUGCUAGGGCGCUCAACCAUGGAGACAAUCUAUCUCUUACGAAGAUUGAUGGAAAAAUAUAGAGAUAGGAAAAAGGAUUUACACAUGGUCUUCAUAGAUUUGGAAAAAGAAUAUGAUAAGGUCCUAAGAGACAUUUUUUUGGAGGAUUUUAAAAAAGAAAGGAGUAUGAGUAGCACAAAUCCAAGCUAUAAAGGAUAUGUAUGAUGGAGCAAAGAUUGCCAUAAAAACUCAUGAAGGACAAACCGAAAGCUUCCCCAUAACUGUUGGGUUACAUCAAGGCUGAUCCUUAAGUCCUUACCUUUUUGCAUUGGUAAUGGAUGAGUUAAUGAGACAUAUUCAAGAUGAUAUUCCUUGGUGUAUACUUUUCGUUGACGAUAUAGUGUUGAUAUAUGAAACUCAGGAAGGGGUAAAUAAGAAGCUUAACCUUUGGAGAUAAGUGUUAGAAUCUAAAGGUCUUUGCCUAAGCCGAUCAAAGACAGAAUAUAUGGAGUGCAAGUUCAAUGCAAAUAGAGGCCAAAAUGAGUUAUGGGUGAGGAUCGAAGAUCAGGAAGUAUCAAAGAGUGACCAUUUUCGCUACAUAGGAUCUAUCUUGCAAAAAAACGGAGAAUUAAAUGGAGACCUCAACCAUAGAAUACAAGCUGGAUGGAUGAAGUGAAAGAGUGCAUCUGGCGUGUUGUGUGACCACCAUAUGCCAUGAAGCUCAAGGGAAAAUUUUAUAGGAUGGCAAUAAAGCUGGCGAUGCUGUAUGGCACGGAAUGUUGAGCGGUGAAGCAUCAACACGUACAUAAAAUGGGUGUAUCGAAGAUAAGGAUGCUUCGUUAGAUGUGUGGGCACACAAGAAAGGAUAAGAUUAGGAAUGAGGAUAUCCGACGUAAAGUAGGAGUAGCCGAAAUUGAAGGAAAGAUGAGAGAAAAUUGGUUACAGUGGUUUGGACAUGUGUAAAGAAGGCCUACUGAAGCUCCGGUUAGAAGAUGCGACUACGGGACAGAGGUCCAGGGCCGAAGGGGUAGAGUAAGACCUAGGAAAACUUUGGAAGAAACUCUAAGAAACCACUUACAGUACUUGGAUCUAACAGAGGACAUGACACAAAACCGAGCGCAAUGACGUUCUAGGAUUUAUAUAACCGAUCCCACUUAGUGGGAAAAAGCUUUGUUGUUGUUGUUGUUGUGUUGUUUAAGUUUCAUGUUGUUAAAUAUAUUUUUUUAAUGUUGUUUAAUGUUACUUAAUGUUGUUUAAAGUUACUUAAUGUUAAAAAAAAUUAAAAAAUUAGGUAAAAAAAAUUCAAAUUUAACAGCUAGCUGACGUCAGCAAGUAGCCAUUGGGAUUCAAAAUGUUAGACCGACCGGGGCUGGCUGGUUGGUGUGGGCCAACCCGAUUCUCCAAUUGUGGCUUAAUGGGGCCCACAAGCCCUUUGGCCUAGCCUUCGGUUGGAGAUGGUUUUCAUGUCAUUUUGGGCUAUUUUUGGCCUAAUGGCUCUCUGGUCGAAUUAAUUAGAGUUGGUCUUAGUGCCAAGGCAAGCCUUGCUCAAAGCUGGCGCUUGCAAGCAAAGAUUUCUUAAUUUGUUGGGGAAUAUCUAGAAAUAGGACAAUUUCUUAAUCUUGGGAUAGAAAUAGGACAUUUCAAAUAUGCACACGCGAUGCAUAACAAUUAGACAGAAAUAGGAUUUUUCCUACACCUUGAAAUGACAUAAUUGCCCUUAUAUUUAAAUGGGUUCAUUUGUAAAUCCAAGUCAGCAUUUCUUCCUCCUUGUUCAAAAAUCUAUAGCGCCCAACCCUUAGCUUCAAGAACCCUAACCCCAAAUGGCACGACCUUUUUCCACCCCAUUUUCGAUUGACGAAAUCUUUUCCACCCCAUUUCCGGCCAACGCAACCCUUUUCCACCCCAAUUUCAGACCAACGUAACCUUUUAUGUCCACUCUAUAUAUUUAGGAGGUGUGAUGUGCAUUUGCACAUCCUUUCGAAAUAUUUGAAAAAGUUUCCACCCUAGCAUUUGUACAUCAUUUCCAAAAGAUUUCAAUGGUAAAAUCCAAAAAGAGGUACGCCUUGAAAUGAAAUUUCAUUAUUUGAACCUAGGUCUUGUAAAAUUGGGAAUUUUGGGUUUUGUGUGCGAAUUAGUGUUUUGUACUGUUAAGUUCUUGAUGUUAAUUUAUGUUAUGCUUGUGGUUUAGAGGUGGCAGAAAUUAAUUGAUUGAAACAUGUUCAUCAAUUUGUGCAUACUGAGUGCAUAAUCCUUGGAUGUCUAUAUGUUGGGCACACUUGAAUUUGGUUCAUGAAUUCGUUAAAUUUGUGUAUACUAUAUGAAUAUUCUUUGCAUAUCCUUUCGAUAUUGCUGCAAAUAUUCAAAUGAAUUUUGUUCAUGAAUUGGUAGAUACUUUCUAUGUGCAUAUUUUGUGCACUCACUGAUGUUGGCCAUACUUGAUUGUAUUUGGUUGAUGAACUCGUUUAAUUUGGCUAGACAAUAUGCAUAUAUUGUGCAUGUCCUGUGUGCAUGCUUAUCUUAUUUAAUUGAUUUGCUUAUGUUCUAAAUAUUGCAGGUCGAAAGUCAAAUCUGUGUCUUCAACAGAACUCAUGUGUCCACCAAAUGAGGUGUUUCCUGCAACCAUCUCCUAUUUGUCAUACGCCUCAAGGUAUCUAGGUAAUAUUUGAGGCUUUGUGUUUUGACCACUGGGUUGAUUGGUUCAGGCAGCUAACUCACUACAUUAUCCUUAGGGCUAUUAAGGAUAAAGUGAGUGAUGGUUCCAUCUCCUUCCUUUUUGGGGAAUAUGUCGCGACUUUCGAGAGCCACGAAAGAGAAAAGGAUAACCUUCCUUUAGGGACUCAGUUUUGAAGGAUUCCCCCCCUCCACCACCACAAAAAAGAAAAGGAUAACCUUAAAACAAUUGGAGGAUUAAUUCAACAUGUGCCAACAUCUAGAAGAUACGUAUAAGCUCAACCUACUGUACUUUGCCCAUUUUGCUGUUUUGGGCAAGAGAAUGAGUCAGCUAUUGACUACCACCUGUUUUAGUUGGUAGAUGAUGAAAAAGAAUGGGAGACAUAUCCCUCCCAAUCCGUAUCAUUCCAAGUGUUGGUGCCAAGCAUAUCCGCAGCUAUUUUGACCUGCCACAAGGUUGUAAAAGAAAAGGUAGUAGAGAAACCAGGGGGUGUGAUCCAAAACUCCUAUAACUUGAGGGGGUUUCCGUAUGUUUUUCAAGCAAUUUCCCUUUUAUUUAGUUGUUAUAAGUUGAACGCACUUUUGCAUUCAUUUCGUCUGUAACUUAUUGACAUUAUUGCUUUAAAUUUUGUAGAUCUGGUUGUUUGAAACAUCGUACUUAAGGUCCAAAAACUAUGUGAGGCUGCACAAGGACAACCCUCAGUUAUUGCCCCGAAUUUGCCAUUGGGACACCAACUUAAAUUCGUCCCAUCACAAGCUGAAGAGCGGUAUUUUUGCACAAAAAUCGAUGUAUGUUUGUUCCAAUUUUAAUAAAUUUUCUGAAUUUUGUAUUACGAAUAGGUUGUACUUAGGUAUACAACAUCAAUUUUUUCUGAUGUAGGUUAUUGUCCACCUGAUUACUCUAAUCGAGGAAGAAAAGAUGGCGCCUUACUGGAACGUCAUGUUUGAUGAUGUUGAGGCUAGUAGGGAUGCAACACCAAAGAACAAAAGUUUGCAAAUGCUGAUCACAACUUCGAGGUCACUCCUUCAUCUGAACCAAAAUAAAAGGUGAAGAAGGGAUACCACAUAUACGUGGGAGCGUUGCCAUCAUCGUCCCGACCAACGGUGAGUACAUAAAUCCCAGUAAAUUGUAGUUUCAAUUUAGACUAAUGUACUGUCUUUGAAUGGAGAUCGGUUUUGGUGGACUUAUGAUAUGAAAUCAUUAUUUUUUAUAUGCAGGAGUUUGAGUUUGUUUCUAAGCGACAAUUUAAAGAUUUUCAAUGACGAUAGAUAUCCGGUUUAGGAUAGUUGUAGAGACAUUAAAGGAUAAGUAUGGCCGCAUGGAGUUGGUUGUUGAGCUUGAGCGUUAUCGAGGCGACGCAGCUGGAAAAUCGUUAGACAAGCCCCUAACCCUUGAUAAGUCGAUAAGCUCACGGUGAGACAUAGAUAAUUUCCUCAAGGAUGAGAAGGUCGACAGUUCCCAUAAAUAUCCACCAGGUUAUGAAGAUCUCACUGCACUUUCCCCUCAAUCUCAAACUUCUACUGGCGAAGGGAAGUCGCUUGGGGGAACAUACAUAAUCGAAGGGACAGCCUGCUACAAAUUUUCCUACUUUUGAUGUCGACUUGCCAAAGAUAGUUGAGGCCCAAAAUGUAAACAAUGUCACCCAAUCAUUACUACGUAUAUUAGAGUUUAAAGUGAAGGGUAAGUUGGAAGAAGGGCAAGUUCUCUAUCUUCAAGAAGAAAAUGAGGACACAGAGGUCAGCGAGCAUAGCACCUACACUAAGGAAGGUGUCGACGUGAUUGAGGUUGUUAGUCUAUCUAAUUUGGAGCCCCUUCUGGGUAAGGGAAUGCAGUAUAAGCGAAAAGGAAUACAACUAGUGCACCCUUUCACCCUUCUCGAAUCCUACAAAAGAAGGAAAGUUGGCGAUGGUCGUUCUACUGAGGAUUUUGUUGUUGACCUAGAUCCUAUCCGAAUCAUCCCAAAGUCAGAUGUGGAGGUUUUUGUUGACAUCUUGACACAUUAGUGGGUUCGCCUAGGUAAGUUCACUUUCGAUCGUCAUUCAGACAAUUGAAUAUAAACUCGAUGUCCAUAUAUUCGUAACAACCUAUGGUUUUAUUUUUUUGUGUACCAGCGAUAAACUAGACCUAUAUGGAUUGGCUACUGUAGGUCAGGAUUUUUUUUACCAAACUCAUCCAGUACGAAGGUACUCUAAACAACAAUGUAAGUAAUUGUUCUUCAUUUGUAACUUGUUUCUGUUUACCACAGUAUAAGUGAGUACAAGAUUUUUAUUUUGGCUUUUACUAUGCAUUUGACCUUGGAUUUAGCACAUCAAUGUCAGCUUUUACCUUCUGAGGAAGCAUUCGAUAGAGCGUCCUGCAAAUUUAGGGGCGCGGUGGACAACUGUUGACUUUUAUUUCUAGGUAAGUGCUAUGUUAUUAUUGUUACCCUCUAAUCCGUGUACUUAUAUUCGUAAUACGAUUUUGCACCCGAUUUACAAAUAGGCACACAUGUCCUUAGUUUUUGUUUUAUGUGGGAAAAUCUAAAAUUGUGUUGCAACGCAUCAAUGCAAGAAAGUAUAAAAUAAGAAUAUGCGCAAUUUGAGACCCUUGGUGGGAAGGGUAAGUCCAAGGCAAAAGAAGCUCUGAUUUUUACACCUUCGAAGCCCUUGAUGAAGGUCAUGCCAGCUGAUGCAAGUGCAAUGCCACACACGGUGCAUGGAAUGAUGUUGACCAAGUAUUCAUCCCAUGUCAUGUGAAUGGCGACCUUGGAUGUUGGCUGAUGUCCAUCUUCUAUGUUGCACCAAUCAUGAUUUAUGAUUCACAUCUAUCAAGAUCGGGGUGGGCAAAAAUAAAGAAACAACUUGCUCAUAUGCAUUUCGUAAUACCUCAACUUUUAAAAGCGACGAGAUUCCAAAUUGCACGAAGCGAUUUAAAGCUAACCUCGAAAGCAAUGGACAAACCGUUUGAGAUUCAGACGAGGGCGAACUAUGGCCAACAGAAUAACGGGUACGUUUUUUUCGCACUUAUCUCAAACUUAAUUGUAAAUGUCUUAAAUAUCAAAUGUGUUGUAACCAGGAGUUAUUGUUUUCUGGUAGUGCAAACUGCAGAGUUUUCUUACUUAAAUUUGCUUACUACAUAUCAUCAGGCUUGGACAUUGACCAUAUACAACAUGAGAACAUGCCUUUUUUCAUACUCAAGCUUGCCAUUGAGUUCAUCAGAGGUCGUGCAUUUUUCUGAAUCAUUAUGUGGACACCAUUUAUUUCAAUACUUUUAUUGUUAUAACCAAACAAUUGAGUUACCAUUCAAAUCAUAAUUUGAGUACUUAGUAUGUAAUUGUAAUUUCAGUACACUUUGCCAUUGCAUUGUUUUAGUAGUCAUUAUGUAUUCUUAAUUUUACUACUUAGCUAUUUAGGGCCUUUUGUUACCAUUGGCUGUAAUUAGCGUAUUAGUGUAAUUUUGGUACACUUUGCAAUGACAUGGUUUCAAUAUUGAGCAUGUUAUUUUUAUUUUAUUACUUAGCAAUCAAGGGCCUUAUGUUGGCAUUUCUACUUCUAAGGUUCCUGAUGCUGCAACCUAUGUGCAUGUCUUGUUCAUGGCAUGUGCAUAACGUGUACAUGUGAUGUGCAUGACUUGAAGAUGAAAUGCCCAGUACUAGUUAUUAUAUUCAUUGUAAAAAAGCAACAUCGGAAAUGAUAGUGGAAUUCCAUUAAUAUACGUAGAUAGCACUGAACUAAUUAAACAUUAAGGUCCUUAUUAUGACAAACCACAUGCGAAAUGUCAAAAUAUAACAAAAUUUGAAGGGCCCACAAAAGAGUUCAAAUUAAAUUAUCCCUAGCGAAUGGCCCCAACAGCAAGUGCCUUGUAGUAGUCAACGAUUGACUUCCCGUUGACAUCCAUUUUGAUUGCAUAGCAGCGAAAUAUCUCAAACCCCUCACUGAAUCCCGACCGAAAGCCUUAUUUGUAUUGCUCGCCCAAUGCGUGUUUAUAUGCUUCGAAUGACAUAAACUUCUUGAUUUCUUUUGCCGCUAACAUCUCCACAGGUUGACGAGCUCUUUUCAAUUACCACUUCAAGGAUGUGAUGUUCUUCGCAUGAUCUUCCUUGUGCUUAGUAAUCCUCCCUACAAUUGUUUCAAGCUUAUACUGUUCGAAUGAGCCUAUGUCUUGCGUCUAGGGGAAGAGGGAAAUGAGCAUGAGUGAGAACAAGAAGAAGAAGAUUUAUAGGGGGAGGUGCGAAGGGAGCAAGGCUGGGAAUAGGAAGAUGAAGGUUUAUAAGGGGAGGUGUGAAGGGAGCAAGGCUGGGAACAGGAAGAUGAAGGUUUCAUUGCUUGACUGUGGUAUAUAUGUCUUCCUUAGAGGGAUGAGAGAAUGAGGUGUUUUGUGUUUCCUUUCCUUUUAUACACACAAAAUCACCAAAAUGAAAGGACAAUUAAAUUGAAAAAAAAAAUGAGAUAUGUUUAGUAUGUUUCCCAAAAUUCAAAAUUGGGCCCCAAAGUUUGAUGGUGGUUUGAAUUUCCUGUCUGGGAAAAUUGUGAAAAUUUAGUAUUUGUAAUUUUCGUGCACAUACUAUUCACGUUCUGUGCACAGUACAUGCAAGUUUUCCAUGCAUGUACCAUACACGCAGUAUGCACAUAGUAUAGACAUUGUGUGCACAAUGUAUGCACAUGAUAUGUACAAGUUGUCUAGGCAGAAUUUCAUAUAAUUUCUUUAGUUCUUUAGUUUUUGUCAAAAUUUUCUUUAGUUCUUUUAAAGAUAAUUGAAAGCAUGGUACACUAAAUGGCAAAAAAUAAAAGUGGAAAUAGUCGUUAAUCCCAUUUCAUUACAGUGAGUGGCAAUCCAUAUUACAUCAAAGUGAUCAAAAGUAUUAUCUUGAUGCGUCAAUGUCCCAAUUUAACAAGAAGGACAAUGGUGCAGCAAGUUGAGAAGGUCUCUGUAAGUUUCAACUUUGGAAGACUACAUAAAAAAGGGACCUUUACAGUCUAUAAAAAAGGAUGGCCAAUGCCACACCUAGAACAAACACCUACGAAGGAAGGUGCAUUUUUCGGUCACGUCGACAUCAAGCCCCUUGCCACCGCUGUGAAGAUUGGUGUACACCCAGAACAACUCAACUUCACCCUUCAUCUCUAGCUCCUUGGAGACCUUGAACUACUAACAUUAUCCUCAUAUAAACAGUGUUUCAAUUUGUGUUUCAGGAGUCUGACCUUCUAGCGGUUCUUCCAAGCUCUAAGUCUAUGGUCGUCCUUGAUAGACUUCAACGGCUCAAUUCUUGCCAUACGUACCUCUUUUUCCUUUUCAAUGUCGGCGAUCAAAGUCUUGAAAAUGCCGCAUGUUUCCUAGUCACGAGGUUUGCCGCAUUAAAAUUGAAGUUGCUAGUGAUUUCGUUCUCGCGGUCGAAUUCCCCGGUCGAUGUCGUAUAAUCAAACAUUAUUGAACAUUGCAGGCUUGGAGGCUGAUUAUGUGAUGAAGUUUGCAAUGUGUUAGUGUUAGUAUGUGUGUGUAUGUGUGUAUGUGUGCGCACAUGUGUGGAGUUAGUAAUGUGAAAUGUUGUGGUAUUGGCGCCAAGAAAUUGUUCUGGUUCCCUAGAGAAAGGAUGGAUACAUGGUGCCAAAAAAUACCUUGGUGGGAGACUUUCCACAAUUUUUUAACAAAAAAUGUGAUAAAGAGCAAUGUAUUGUACGCCUUGGGAUUCUCCUCAAGAAUUGGCACCAAAAGGAGUGAUACUUACCCCAUUAUUUUAAGGUUUCUUUUAUUGGAAAAGGCACCAUGCUUAUAGUUGUGUAAAUCCCAAUCUAAAAACUGGAAAUUGGUUAGCAAAAUUGGGCUUUGAUGGUUUGUUUGUAAAUGUAUUAGUUGGCAUCAUAACCUUAAUGCUAAGACAUGGUAAAUGAGUUGUACAUGUGUUGUACAUGACCUCACCUUUACGUCUUGUCUUAACCUACUUGAGGUGUGCAUACCAUGUAAAUGUGCAAGAUGUUCUUUCUUCUCAUGUCAACUCAUAAAUGUUUAAUAAUAAUAUGUUACAAAAAAAAAAGUUUUAAUUAGGGUUUUAUUCGGCCACUUAAUUUGACCCAAUGGGUUUUCAUCCAGAUCAUGGUAGACUUGUAUAAAUAUCCUUUUUUCACACGGACCCUAUCCCUAUUCAAUCUGGGUUAUAAACAUGACAACUGAAUAUCUUUCUUAUUUGCACAACAAAUGCACGACUCAAUGCAUGCACAAUAUAUGUACAACCCAUGCACAAGGAGUUGCUUCUAUCAUUUAAAAAAAAAACAAACAUUUUAAUCCAAAAAUACCAUGACAUGCAGAAUACAUGCACAUUACAGGGCACCCUAUGCAAUGGAAACAAUCAUGUGGUGUCAGGGAUAUCAACAAGUUCCGUGCAAGUCCGUUGGUUAUGACCAAGCUUCCGACGACACUUGCAUUCCCAAUAGAUUAUAUGUUCUCCUUGUGACCAGAUACGCCGCUUCUUGGGACUCCCAACCAGUACCUUCCUUGUCAAAGGUAAGACUAACGUGCAUGCAGCUAUAGUUUUGCAUUCCAUUGCAGAGCGGGGAAUACCGAGUAUAUGGAAUCAGAAUAGGUUGCCUUUCACACUAUACUACUUUAGUAAGUCAAAGCCAACUCAUAAAAGUUGCAGCUUGCAAAUAAGUAAGCUGCAAUGGCAUGUUUGUAGGGCAAUUGCUCAAGAUCGAAUUUUCAGCAAGUGCAAGUCUUGUUACGUAUAUCAACCACGGCUUCACUGUCUGUGUGGUAAACAUGAAACUUGGUGUCCCUUACUUUAUGGACACACAUGUGCCUUGCAUUCUGUACCCUUUUUCUUAUUUUUUUUUCUCACCAAGACCGGGGCACGUGGUAGUGAUCACACGUACUAUAUCCCGCCUUUGUCAAAACUAUUUUUGCAACGCCACCUAAUGAAAUCGAUCAAGUAAAGUAUGGGCAGCCCCAUUGCCAUGCGCAACAUCGCAUUAAUGCUCUCAGUAAAGUUAGUGAUCAUUACAUUGUACCUCUUCCCAUUCAUUCGAGCCAAUAACAACUUCUCCACACCCACAUCUUUUAGGUACUUUGCUACCAAGUCUUUGAUCUUGACGAAGUGUGUGUCGAACUCGGCACGAGAAUAGGAUUUCCUUGCCUUGUGGUAGUGGUAGAAAAAGUUGUCCUUCUUUUUUAGGCGAAACUUGGCCUUGAUAUUCCCUUUCAAGUGAUACAUGUUAAUCUUUUUUGAAAACCUUAUUGACCACGUUUGCAAUGCUUGCGUUGUAGUCCGAAAUUAUAACCAAAUUCAGUACAUCCUCAAUCAUUCCAUUGAGUUACUUGAAAAAUCACUCCUAGCAAUCAUUGUUCUUUAUGUAGCCUAUGUUGAAAGCCAAAGGGUAGAUGUUGCAGUAACAGUUGAACGAUCUCGCAACUAAAAGGACACCUUUGUACUUUGAAUUCAAGUGAGAUGCAUCAACCGUAGUAACUAUCCGCAUCCAUGACAAGAAACCCCUGAUUGAUGCACCAAUUGCAAAGACAAAGUACCAAAAACAAUGGUCUCCGUCGGUUAGGAUGGUUGUCUUGCUGCCCAGAUUUAGCCUCUCAAAUUUGGCACAAUAGGCAGGAAGAUUGGCAAAUGAGUCCUCAGGUGAACCGCAUCUUGAUGACAAUGCCAAUCCUCUAGCCCGAGAUGCUGACUAUUGUGACCCCGAGAUUGGUUUUAACAUCGUGCACACCAUCUUUGGCGCUGUAAACCAUAUCGGGAUCAUUGAACGUUUCCCUCAUCAUGUGACUUGUGGAGCAAAAAAUAAUCAUAAGGCGACAUGUGGAUUUUUGGAUGAGGAAGACAAAAAUACCCUUGAGGUGUAUCAGGAUUCCUAUGCGCAGGUAGUAGGCAAUCAUCCUCAACCAAGUCAAAAAUGCCCAAAAAAGGUAAAUAAGUUCAAACUUAUCUCAUCCAUCUUUGCUCCAUAUUCUCUACAAGAAAAUCAUUUCAAAACCUCUAAAUUAUUCCAUAUAAAUGGAGAUUAAUUGGUUAAUUAAUGAAUUAAUUCCUAAAUAAUUCAUUAAUCAACCAAUUAAAUUAUCAAUUAAGCCCAAAACUUACCCUAAAAGCCGGAUAUCCCUUCUCCAAAGGGAGCUGACCAUUUCCUCCUUUCCACCAAAGUUUUCCUUUUUUGACAUUGAUUAGCUAAUCUAUGAUUCAAUUGAUUAGCUAAUUAUACCAUAAAUUCCCGAAUACAUUCCUUUUAUAAUAUUAAUUCGCCAAUUAAUAUAUUUAUUCCUAAACAAUAUGUUAAUUGGUAAUUAAAUCAUCCAUUUUACCUCAAAAACUCCCAAAGGGCCGGCCAUCCUAGUUGAUCUCACCAUAUUUACCCAUUUCAUCCCAUUGAUUAGCUAAUUAAUUUGGUAAUAAUCCUAUUUUGCCAAAUUAAUUAGUCAAUUAAUCACAUAACUCCCAAAAUCAUCAUAAAUCAUGAACAAAACCCACAAACAAGGCUAAGUGGCCGGUCCUCUCUCACCCUAAGAGACCGGCCACUCUUCUAUUUAAACCCCUUUCUUUUCUUCAAAAUGGGUCUCUGAUUCUCUAGCAAAAAUUCCAAAUACUCUCAAGACACUUUUCUCCCUAAAUUCUAACUUUGGCAUCGGAGGUUCUUCGGCCAAAGUCCCCCCCCAUUCAUCGUGGGCACGUGAGGCUUUUGGCCUUGACCCUAAGGUAUAAUUGUUGUGUAGGUGCAAUUUUGUCCGAGACAAAAGAGGCGAAAAUUUGCAUCCACAUGACCAGUAAGCCGCGUGUUGACUUGCGGGUGACGGUCCUUCAACAAAGCCAAAUCACAUUGUGGGAAACUUCAUCUUUGGCAAUCUUAAACUCUUCAUUACAUUUCCGGUAUCCGAAAAUCCUCCAUGGACACCGGAUAUUCUUACACUUGACAAUGAGACACCCCUUCGAAGAUGUAUUGACCGGGUAUUGUAAAUUCGUUUUAAUCGAUUUCAAUCGAAACCUUUUCAACAGAUCUUGCUCGUCGACAAUAAGGUCAUCAUUGGAUUAAUCUAGGGCUCAUAUGAAAAAGGACAUCACGUCCUCAAAAUAAAGACUUUAAGAGAGCAGUUAUGCCUACGGUAGAAGGUUUAACUUGAUUAUAUUAAAUGAGUAAAAACUUAUAAGGUUUUUAAGAAGGGAAUUUCCAAAAAACAAAAACAUAAGGGUAUUGAUAAAUUAUUAAUUAACUCCAAAAAGAUAGUUAUAGUACACUUUCAAAAACAUUACAAAAUGUGGAAAUCACAAAAAUUAAAGGUUUCAAAAACAUUACAAAAUGUGGAAAUCAUAAAAACUAAUGGUAGCCCUUGAUAAGCAAACAUACUACAAUGACCACAAAGAAAAUUAAAUUUAAAGGAGAAAAAUGAAACUUUGCCCUCAACUCACUUGAUCGGAACAAUACUUUCCACAUAACUAAGAGUCUCGAAAUCAAUAACCUCAUUGAUAAUAGGAGGAAUAUGAAGAUACUUGAGAUUUCCAAUACUAGAAUUAUAAGAGAUGGCUCUUCCAUCGGAGGCAAGCAUAAGAAGCUCGUCACAUUUCCAAAGUGUCAAUGGAUACUCAAUGCCUUUAAAGGGUCCAACAGUUAAGAGUUUUGUCCAUGAAGUCUUAAUUCCAUCAUAAUCGUCCAUUACCCAUAUUUCAAAUAAUUUAGAAUCCUCAGUUGGAUCAUAAUGAGAGCAAUAAGAAGUGAUGGAUUCAUUAUACAGAAAAAGAUCAUAAAACUUAAAACUGGAUUCUCUCCUAGAAGGCAAUUGUAUUCUAUGAAAUAUCUCAUCACCUAAAUCAAAUGAAAGUAUGUAUUCCUCGCCAUCGCUUGCAAACCAAUAACAAAAUCCCUUCAAGUACACCGAACAAGAACUAGGAUAGGUUUUAGUUGAUAUAUCAAUCUUAAUCUCCUUCCAAGAGUUAGCAGCUAUGGUGUAUACCUCAGCCGUGUGAGGAAGAGGAAUACUAUGAUUAAAUGUUCGCUCAUCAUCUGAAUACUCACAAUUUUCUAUAAUUUGCACAACCUUGUAUUCUUUAGCUUUGCAAUCAUAACCAAAUCCCAAUCCUCCAAAAAUCGUCUCCAAUUGGAAUUUUUCCUUGGGAAGGGGUACAAGAAGGCAUGAAUCGGGAAGUUGCCUGAAUUCCCCGGUUCCAGGAUUGCAUAAAAUAAUAACAGUUUUCCCUGCUAUUACACAGACAAUCCCAUUGCAAUAACCGUGAAUCUGUACAGGAUGAUGAUCUUCUAAUGGAAACGGUAUGUUUAGGUCCUCAACAUCAUAGUGAUGGUUGUGCUCAUCACUAUAAAUGGAAAGAUAAAUCAUGGACCAUAAAAUUUCAUAUUUCCAACUUUUGUCUGGGAAAACCGGCAUCUGAGAACGGUUGAGAAGGAUACAAGUGGAGGAUGAGAGUUUGUUGUCUACGGAAUUGCUGAGGUGUUUGGCAACAAAGCUUGAACUAAUUAUAAGAGUGCACCAAGACUUGCGUGUGCAUUUGAAUCGCAUCAGAGAUUUGGAUGGCAACCUUGACAGGAUUUCGACCACCUUAUCUUCAGGAGUUUCGCUUUCACGCACAUGGAACAUUUCAAAAGUUUUGUUCCACAGGAAUUCUUUACACGUAUAUAUACACAGGAAUGAGCACCAACAGUUUGAGAGGCAAACUAAAUCAAACUCGAGGUUCAAUUACUAAACAUAUUUCCACAUUACCAAAAUCCAACAGCAUUAAAUAAAAUUGGAUUUCCACAACCACAACUUAUAUAGCUAUCAAAGAAAACAAGGAGAUCCAGUCAGUUUCGAGUUUUUCGGAGGAUCAUUCGUUCAAAUUUUAGUAUUUUAAUAUUUUUAUUGAUACAAAAUUAACCAUUCAAAUUUUACCUUUUAACUCUAAACUAGAUUACCUAAGAAAGGAAAAUUAACACGAUAUCCGGAUAUGGGCUAGUAUGUAACAUCACAUGAUUUUAAUUUAACUAAUUCAUAGAGUUUUAUUAAUUAAGCCAAUUUUUUCAUUAGAAAUACAAUCACAUAACCACUUUUCAUCUAAGUUUACCCCAAUUUUUAUCUACACUCCGUUAAAAUUUUAAAAUUAAACCUUUCUAAAUUCACCACAUUUAUUCCAAAAAUACACACAAAGACCAACACCUUUCCAAAACACCCUAACACAAGGAAAGGGAUCCCAUCCGAAUCCCUUUCCACCUAAUCCACCUAGUUCGGGAUCCGGGCCGCUCAAAUGUGAUCCAACAGCUACAGUUAUUAUCACUUUUAAAGGGACCUUGACUUGAAUUUUACAGCUUAAUUCUCAUUGUAUUGCAUAACUGAAAAUAUAUACAAGAUACAAUCCUUGUUCCAUAAAGAAACAAUAAACAAUAAAGAACACAAACAUAUAUCCUUCCUAAUAAAGGAUUCCUAAUAUUUACAAUAUAUUUACAUACCCUUUUAAUUAUUACUCACGGCAACACUCCCCCUCAAGUUGGAGCAUAAAUAUCACACAUGCCCAACUUGACAAGUGAGUCAUCAAAAGACCUGCUACACACGGCAUAAGUGAAGAUAUCUGCAAGUUGCUCUUCCGAGUUCACAAACGGUACUGACACAGUCUUCUUUUCAAGUUUUUCCUUAAUGAAAUGGCGAUCAACCUCCAUAUGAUUUGUUUUGUCAUGUUGUACCUGGUUCUCUGCAAUCUCCAGUGAAGACUUAUUAUCAUAAUACAAAUUUAUGGCCUCCUUUGGUUUGAAACCUAGACCCUAAAGUAACUUAUGCAACCAAAGAACUUCACAUACUCUAUGUGCCAUACCUCUAAAUUCGGUCUCAACUAAAGACCUUGACACCAUAUUUUGUUUCUUGCUCCUCCAAGUGACUAGAUUUCCACCAACAAACGUAAAGUAUCCAAAAGUAGAGCGCCUAUCAAUCAGAUCACCUGCCCAUUCAACAUCAGUAAAUCCCUCAAUCUUCAAGUGACCGGAAUUUUUAUACAAAAUUCAUUUCCCCGAAGCCGACUUCAAAUAAGCUAAAAUUUGCAUAACAGCUGUCAUAUGAUCCACACUCAGUGAGUGCAUAAACUGACUCACCACACACUGCAUAGGCUAUAUCCGAAUGGGUAUGAGCUAAAUAAAUUAGUCUUCCUACCAUCCUUUGAUAUCUGUCUUUAUCUACUGGUUCUUGAUCCAGAUAAAUUCCCAAGUAAUGUUUCUCUACAAUGGGAGUAUCCACGAGGUUUACACCGAAGCAUACUUGUUUCCUUCAAUAAAUCUAGAACAUAUUUUUGUUGAAACAAGAAAAUACCUUUGGAUGAACGAGCAACUUCAACUCCAAGAAAAAACUUCAAUCACCUAAACUCUUCAUCUCAAACUCGACAUAAAGGUUCUUCUCCAAUUAGACAAUCUCAUCUGAAUCAUCACCUAUUAUUAUCUUAUCAUCUACAUAAAUAAUCAAGGUUGUUAUUUUACCGUUGCUCCGCUUCACAAAUAAAGUAUGAUGAGAAUUACUCUGAUAAUACCCAUUCUUUCUCAUGGCCUGAGUGAACCUCCCAAACCAUGCACGAGGUGAUUGCUUAAGCCCAUAAAGUGACUUCCGCAAUAGGCAUGAAGAAAUGCAUUUUUUACAACAAACUAUUUCAGUGGCCAAUUCAAAUUUGCAGCUAAUGAGAUAAGGACUCGUACCAUGUUCAUCUUAGCCAUCAAAGAGAAAGUUUCUUGAUAAUUAAUCUCGUACGUUUGAGUAUACCCUUUCACCACCAAUCUUCCUUUAUACAUGUCGCGUGAUCAAUCAGCCUUGUAUUUAACUGUAAAAACCCAUCGGCACCCAACUGGUUUUUUUCCUUUCUGCAGCUCAACUACUUCCCAUGUAUUAUUUUUCUGCAAUGCCCUCAUCUUUUCAUCCAUUGCUUUGGUCCAUUCUCGACUUUUCAAAGCAUCUUCUAAUCAAGUUGGUACUUGAAUUGAAUCCAUAUUAUUCACCCAAGCUUGACGUUCGGAUGAAAUGUUUUUACAUGACACAUAAUUGGCUAUUGGAUACUUCAUUUUUCCUUCCGGAAAGAACCUGUUAGGAGGUACACCACAAUUUUGCCUUGGUGGCAAUUUAUAUGUACUUAUAACAUCAUUAGUUACAUGAGCAUCACUAGUGCUUGCCUCAGAGAUAUCCAGAGAAGACAUAUUGGACAGCGGCACUAUUAAGCUAGGGAGAGAGGCAGCUUCGACAAUAAUCUUGGGGCUGCUUGCUUUGGCAAACUCCAGUCUCUCGACUUCAGCAGCAGCUGGCUGACCAUCAACACACUCCUCUUCGACAAGACAAAUACAUGGAUUGGCAGACUCUUCUUCGGUAAGCAACAGCUGAUCACUUGUAGCAAGUUCGGCAUGAAUAGACCAAACAUCAGCUACAUCACUCGGUACUGCACCGAACAUCAGAAACAUGUUCCAUCAACACCUGGAAUGGAGUACGAAAUUCUACAACCCGGGAUGGCAUGAGAUUUAUAACAUACAUGACAUAGGUGAUGGAGUCUAGCCAAAAACUCUUGGGCACAGAUCCACCAAUAAGUAAAGCAUGAGUAGUUUCCAAAAUAUGAUGGUUUUUUCUCCCAGCUACCCCAUUUUGUUGUGGGGUAUAGGAACACGUUGUCUCAUGGAGAAUUCCUUGAUCACGGAAAAAAAUAAGAUAGCUCAUAGUUAACAUAUUCUCCUUCGUUAUCAGAAUGAAGAACCUUAAUAACAGAAGAAUAUUGAAUAGCCACCAUCUGAGAGAAAGACCAAAUAGUCGUACUUACAUCACUUUUAUGUUUUAACACAUAAACCCAUGUCAUAUGAGUGCAAUCAUCAACAAACGUAACAAACCACUUAACUCCUGAAAUGGUGUUAACGGGCGAAGGCCCCCAAACAUCUGAAUGUAAAAGCUCAAACAGAAUCAAUCUUUUAUUCAUACUAGGAGAAAACGAAGCACGAUGGCUCUUAGCAAGAAUGCAUACUUCACAAUGUAAGUCUAAUUCCUUUAUUUCAUGAAACAUACUAGGCAACAUACGCCUUAAAUAACCAAAAGAAACAUGUCUUAACUGACGAUGUAACAACCAAACUUCUUGUAGAUUACUAGUACGGGAUGCUCGAACUACAUUAGCUCUGCCAGGAACGACGUCAUCCACAUAAUACAACCCCUCUCUCUUAGUGCCACACCCAAUUAUCUUCUUGGUCUAAAUAUCCUAAAGCAAACAAAAAUUGGAUACAUAAGUACAACAUAAUCCAAUUGCUCAGUAACUUGGGGAAUAGAUAAUACAUGGUGAGACAAUGGCGAAACGAGCAAACAGUGGUGUAAAGCAAUAGAUGGCAUGAGGUCCACUGUGUCGGCCCCAAUCGCCACGGCAGCGGUGCCAUUUGUUGUGGCAACACAUUUUUGAUGCAUCGUUGUCAUAUACUUAAAUAACCUUUUAUCAAACCUCAUAUGAUCAGUUAUUCCAGAGUCCAGAAUUUAACAUAUAUGGUGUUCAAUACCAAAGGCUAAAAGAACACACCCAUCAGUACUUGUAUUGGACGAGGACUCACUAUGAUUGGACCAGGGAUCACUACUUCUUUUGGCAUUGAUCUUGUUGGUUGAAUUAGUGAUAGGAGUAUAUUUAUGCGACAUAGUUAGCUUGUUUUCUUGCGUUUUCGUAGUUAGUUUGUGUUUAUUAUAGUGUUUUAAGCUAUUUUCGUGUGUUUGUAGGUCCUAAUAACAAAGUUGGCAAGAAAGUGCAUUUUGGUGCAUUUUUGAGCAGUUUUGGGCACUAAAUGGAUAGAACAAGUAUGGGCCAAGUUGGAUGGACGAAUUUGGAGUUCAAAAGGCUAGGAAUCUGAUAAGGAGAUGAAGAAAUUAAAUUCAAGACAAAAAAGAUAAGGAAUCAGCUCAAAAGAAGGAGAUAUUAUCCAAAACCUUAUCCAAUCUUAUCUUAUCCAAACAAACCUUAUCUUAUCCUAUCCUAUCCUAAUCUUUUCCUAACUUAAUUCCUGCUGCAAGGGGGAGUUAAUUUCUGAUUUAAAUCACCUAGAAAUCUUUCUAGAAGGCCUUAUAUGUUCCUACAUUGGUGUUGCAUGUUUUUAGGCCUUGUUCUUCUAGAAAUCAGCCACAUAACAUUGUUUCUAGAAUUCCCUACAAAAGUGGCGCCCCAAACCCUUCUAGAAACCCUAAAAUCUGCACAAACCCUAGUUCUUUUUCCCCUUGGAUUAAGGCCCAAGCCUUGGCUGAAAAUUCUAAGCCUUUUCCCAUCAGAAUUUUUGAAAACCCUAGCCUAUAAAUAGAUGUUUUCAACCACAAAUUCGGACACCACCCUCUACCAUCAGAUCACUACACCAUCCACCUUUUACCACAAAUUCGUCCUUAACAUCCAUCACCCCCAAAACCACCCUCUACCAUAAUUCACUACAUCAUUCACCAAACAUCCCUCUUGUGCCGUGAGUAUUGCAAGGAAGGAAGGAGAAUGAGCUACCUAGGAGCCGUGCCUAUACCUAAGACGUUGGAUUGUUGGAACGUUUCUAGGUGUUUUCUAUCUUUGAUUUCAAUGUUUAAUUUAAGUUAUCUUUGUUUAUUUGCGAACAUGAGGAACUAAACCCCUAUUAGCUAGGGGGAAUUUCGAAACCAUGGCUAUACUUGCAAUAUGAUUUGAUUACAUCCAGUAAUGAUUUCAUGAAUUGUGAAUUCAAUUUACUUAUCUAUUUGAAUUAAAACUUGUUUAUGUAUGUGGGUUGAGAGUGCACACUUAAUUUGCAUGCAUAAAUAUGAUGCUAGGAUAUAAGGGAGUUUCACCUAAUCGUCAUGAAUUUAUAUUCAUUAGUAGUGAAGGUUGCUUGUCACAAUCGCGUUAAUUGAAUUCUUAGCAAACGUAUCAUGCAUUCAUAGUUACAAUUGCCUCGUCAACACUUAUGAUUUUCAUGAAACGUAAUAAUCUCUGAUUGUAUCUUUAUUAUGCAUUCAUGUAGGGGACUUUUGGAGAAUGAUUUGGGUUGUUGCAUGCAUUCAUCCAAUCCAAUGAGUAAAGGAAAAGCUGAGGGUUAAUUUGUGCAUCACGGCUAAUCUGGGGUGUUGAGCAUCAUAAUCUAUUGAAAAGCAAUUGGAAAUCAAUUCAUGUACAAGUGUGUCAUGUGUGAAGAACGGACCUCUAACUAAUCCAUCCAUCAUCUUAUUUAUCAAUUUCGUUUUACAAUCUGCCUAGUUUUAUAACUUGUUUGUUUGUUUCAAAUUCGUCCAAAUCAAAACCCCCCUUUUAUUUUCUUGUUUCAAAGUGUUUCAAAUCUGUUUUGUUUGUGUUUUUGAGUGUUUUGGUUCAACCCAAAACACUAAAAUCGUCCAAAGUUGUGUUAGAGUCAGAAACUGCCCAGUUUGUGUUUUUAGGCAGUUUUAAGUGUUUUUAAGUUGUUUUGAGUCUUUUGAACCUGUUUUGAGUCCCUUGAGUCUAUUCAAACAUUUUUAACUUUGUUUUUAUGUUUUGAGUCAAUUUAGAGGUUUAGAACGAUCCCUACUUGCAUUUAUACUACGAUUUGACAAUAAGAGGGUUUAAUUUGAGUGCUUAACUUUUAUCACAUCAAUUAGUGGUAUUGCCCUUAAAAAAAUCUAUGAAUUAGUUCAUUUGGGUUAACAUUUGACAACACACCAUCUUUUACAAGUCUCAUCAUUCUAUCUCCUCGUAUAUGCCCUAGUCUUCUAUGCCAAGGCAUGGAAGAUAUAUAUAUCAUGAGUGAGCAUUCGAUUUGAAGCAGAAUGCACAACACUGAGACAUUCUCGAUAGUAUGUGCAUUCAAUUUGCCAAAGAUCACCGUAUGGAAAUGCAUAGCCAAUAGAAUUGUUAAAUUGAUCCUUAAGAUAAAAUUUUGUUUGAUUGCCAUCUCCAUUGUAAGAGAAGCCAUCUUUAAUAAAUUGAGUCAUAGAAAACAGAAUCCUUCUUCUUGAAGGUACAUAAAGAACAUUGUUCAAAGUCAAAAUGUAACUAGAUGACAAUCUUAAUUUAACAAGAUCAACUGCUUCAACUAGAACUUUAUUUCCAUUUCCAACAUAAACACUCUAGGGCUUCUUACUUGUCUCCUUCUGACUUUGAAAUCCAUGCAAAGAGUUUGUUAUAUGAAUCAAACAACCAAUAUUAAACCACUGUGAGUUGUAUAAAAACCAUGUUUGAUUCAACAAUUACAAAAGCGUUAAGGACCUUGUUAUCUUUCUUGAUUAACCAUGCUUUAAAACCAGGACAUCCCUUUCUCAAGUGAUCAGUGGACUGACAAUGGAAACAUCUUUUGAAAUUAGCUUUGUGUACUUUCAGACCAGUGGAUGUGGAAGCACCACCAGUUUUGGGAGACACAGUAGAGGUCCUGAAUUGUUUAUUGAAACCAAGUGCAGAACCUGUUGAAUUUCGAAACCCCGAUUGUUUCUUGCCUUUGUAGUUCUCAUUUCUGUUCCCAACAACGACUUUUCCCUUGCCCUUGCUGGUAUUGACAUGAUUUGCCAAUUCCAACGUCUCAGCUUUUGAUUUCUUCACUUUCUCCUCUUCUUGACAGCAAAUUGCAAUAAGUUCAUUAUACUCAAUGUUUCCUUUUGAUUAUUAUAGUUCAUCUUAAUAUGAUCAUAUUUUCCAGAUAUGGAAUAUAGAGCCAUGUGAACAAGAAAUUGAUCAGUGAAGUGGCAUCCCUUUCAAUUUGUUAUGCCACGCUACUGUGUUUGGUUUUAUUUUGUUUGUCCUUGUUUUUGAUGGUUCAUGACAAAGAGUUCUGUUUUAUCCGAGGGUGGAACAGCAUCGGAUAUUAAAGUUUUCGGUGAAUUUGAAAAAAAGCAAUGCUACAACAAAGUUAAGAGAAUAAGCAACAACGAAUCUCUCUUCUUUUAUUUAUUAUUUCAAACUAAAAACCCUUUAAUAUAAAGAAGAGUGAGAUUACAUUAACUAAUUACAUGCAUUCCAAGAUCUUCUCCUUAACAAAACAACCAAGUCAAACUGUAGGGAAGUACUCUUGAUAAAAAUAACAAAUAACAUAAAUAUAGGGAAGUAGUCAAAUUUGAACAGAAGUGCCCAUGGUCUGAUUGGGACAUAUGUAACGACCCAUCCCUAAAUAUUUUGAUUUUUAUAAUUUUUAAGUCGCGUGAAUUUACGAAAAUACCCUUCGAGGUAAAAACGUUGACUUUUGUUGAUCACCUUGUCGUAUCACGUAAGAUCUAUUUCCUUGGCGUAUUCUUAUAGUACUCAUCGCUACAAAGGUGUGGGCGCAAGAGGAAUCGAAUUCAAAGUUACGAUGAAUGUUUUACAGAAUCACGAACAUGUAGGGCAAUUUAGUAAUUUUACAUAGGAAGAUAUUUUGUGUGUGUGUUAUUUUGUGAGCCGUGGGGUCCACAUUGUCACAUCCCUGCCCGGGCCCCCACCACAUCCCGGGCUCGACUCCACCGUAGCACGAUAUUGUCCGCUUUGAGCCCCGACCACGCCCUCACAGUUUUGUUUCUAGGAACUCACACAAGAACUUCCCAGUGGGUCAUCCAUCAUGGGAUUGCUCUCGUGCGAACUUGCUUAACUUCGGAGUUCUGAUGGAACCCGAAGCCAGUGAGCUCCCAAAAGGCCUCGUGCUAGGUAGAGAUGGGAAUAUACAUAUAAGGCUUACAGGAUCCACUCCCCUAGGCGAUAUGGGAUGUUACACAUAUCCCAAUUCUCCUUCUUCCCCGUGUCAUCCCCCUCCCCCCAUCUCUGGAACUCUCUCUUUCUCUCUUUCCCUCUCUUUCUCUUCUUUCGUCCCCGAGUGAACACUCUCGAACUCUCUCCCUCCUUGUCUCCCUCCUCUCAUCUCUACACUUUUUCCUGCCCGAGUCACCCUACCCCGGUGAGACUGUGAUACUCUAACCCCAUUAUCACUAGUCAUUCAUGGGACAUGAAACGAUGAGACAAGCCCUGAGCUCGCUGGUCUUUUUUCCCUAUACGGUGAGUCACUAUUCAUCAUCUCCAACAACCUCUCACUGAUGUCGACAUAGGUAAGCUUCGAAAAAAAUUCUAAACCUUCUACUCUCAUCCUUAUGAUUCGUUUUUUUAUCAUGUUUGGGUGUUUUGAACGACGGUAUUGCAUAGAAAUGGUGAGAGGAAAGUUCCCUAGAUUUCCACCCAUCCUUUGCAAGCAUUUUCCAUACGAUCCAAACCUCGGCGCAACCUCAAUUUGGUAUGCCCUUGUUCCUAAUCUCCUAAGAUUCAAUUUGACUUUUAUUUCAUGAAAAAUAGUUAUGAAUCGAGCUCGAAUGGAGCUUAGGAAGUUUCCCUGCCAAAAUCUCAGGUCUGGCUUUCUUCUUUAUUGGGUCCAGCAACCCACGAACCUAACCGGGUCGACCCAGCCCACAAUCCAAAAUCGACCCAAACCCAAUCCAAUAACCCUACCCAAAUUCAUAACCCAUUAACCCUAACCCAAGCCUAAACCAAAAAUUGGCCGAACCUAACAGAUUCGACCCAAAUCCAAUCCAAUAACUCAGACCCAAGCCCAAUUCCACGAUCAGCGCGUGGGCCGCACGUGGGUGUGCAUCAUGGUCAGCACGUGGAGCACAUGCGCCUCUACCGGAGGCACUGUGCUCUGCCGCCGUCCACGGCAACGACCACGAAGGCACUGGCGAAUUUUUUGGCGACCUAAGUCGACGCGUAGGGGAACCCGAGUUCCUUUCUUAGGUUUUUCGACGUGUCGAAUCCGAAUCUGGUGCCCGUUUUCCCAAAUUCAGCAAUUUCAGUAAAGUUUUACUAAAUGAUCCCUAUUUGUGUUUAGGUACGUCGAUGGGAAGUGGCACCAUCCUCGCUAGUUCAAAGGGCUCCCGGGCAACAAAAUAUAUGUGAAUGGACCCCUUCUUAACUUGCAUGUUAUGAUAAAAUAUUAGGCUUGCAUUCAUGAAAAGCAUGAUUUCAUGAUUUUAUGUUUUAUGCAUUAUUUACGAUUUAUCGAAAUUACGUUUUACGAAAAGGUAUGAAUUAUUGGACUUUCGCAUAUGAAAUUCUAUGGAUUUACGAAUAUGAAUUAUCAUGGAUUUAUGAGAUGUGGAUUUGAGCCUUUAAGCCCCAGAUUGAUAUGAAAUUUUUGAGAUAUGUUUUCGGUGCUUAUCUAAUGGGUUGUCAUACAGCAGAUACACACAACCGGGUAUGUAGACGUCUAUGGCCAUAGGAUACAGUUGAGGAUAUUUGUGACAUUCCCCCAGCUUCACUAGCCCAGGGCUUGUGUCGGUGUGAAAUGUUACAUGUAUAUGUUUCUUCUUUGGCGUAACUCAGAGUCGUACAGCUUCACCUUCGGGUGAUGAACCAUGAUUUCUUCACUGGCACAACCCAGUGUCAUACAGCUUCACCUUUGGUGAUGGUUAUGCCUUUGGGCCACUAUGAUAUCCCUAGUGAGUACAUCAUUGAUGAGGGUUUACAGAUUUGCCUUUGGGUGACUAUUUCCGGUACUGAGCAUUGUUUUACACAUACAUGUUUUAUGAAUGUUUUUCAUGGCAUGUUAGAGUUUUCCGAAAAUCUAUUAUGUAGUACUAUAUAUGUGUUUUCAAAACUGAGGGUUAGUAUGUUCAUAAAGAGAAUGGUUUUCUUAUUAUUAGUUCUAUUAUCAUAAAUUUUGAUCCACUCACUCUUUUCGUUUUGCUCCCCCUUCAGGAUUUAGAUCUGAAGCACACGAUUCCGGCAUCAGGGCACUUCGGCUUAGGUAUCUUUGAAUCUUCUCAGUGCAUGUCUUAUUCCUUUGUUCGUACCCUUUUAUACUAAUUCCUUCACAUUUUUCUUAAUUAGUUGUAUGCUCUGAACAUGUGUCCGCAUUGGUAUAUUCCUUUCUAAUCACAUAUUUUAUUUGCAUGCAUGUUUAAAAUAUUCGUCACCCUCUGGUGUCAACCAACACGUGCCUAUCCUGAUAUUUGGGGAUAUCGGGAUUGGGGCGUGUCAACAUAUCUCUUUAUCCAUUUGAAAAUUUUUCAUAUUAAUAAACAUCACAAUUAUUGUCCAAAAAUCCCAAACUUUUAAACUGGAAAAGAAUGACAUGAUCGUAAAGUUUUGCAAAUUCACUUGUUACACUUUAAUAAAGUUAAUAGUAGAUGAAUGCUUCAUGCUUGUUACUGAAAAUGUAAAAUAUAUACAUAACUAAUAGAAACUCCUAUAUGUCAGGAGACCUAUGACCAAAUAGUGAUUUACAAUACAUAAUCGUAAAUUGCUACCAAAAUGAGACUUGUCCUGAAUACUUAGACAUGAAUUUUUUAUUGUUAAAGUCACGUUAUCAUGGUUUCACCAUUUCACAUGUAAUAGUGUAACUGCACGGUAUACUCUUGUCAUAAAUCUAUUUAAAGAACCUCAAUUCAUUAUGAUAUGAUAGACGAAGCAAAAAUUGUUCGAUUACAAAACCUCAAGUAGCUCUGAAGCUUCUCCAGGAAGAAGUAGCUUUUUCCUAGACAAAAUGGAGACUUACUUUGUUCUCUCUACAGAAACAAGUGCCAACACUACGGAUUCUCACGCUGCGAUUUGGAGAGAAGGUUUCUAUCAGAAUCGUAAACAAUUUUCCCUGAAAAUUUCAGCGGACUACAACGUUCUCCCAUCAUGAUCUUUUUCUUCCAAACGGCUUCGUCAUCAUCAGUUUCAUAAUCUUCUACCGCUGCUGCCUCUACUGUCCUCCAAGAAAUCAUCUUCACCAUCGCAACAGCUUUGCUACUGAUCUUUCUAUUUAAUUUGGCCACAAACUUUACGUCUUUUGACUCGGUGUCUAUGAUCACUUCCUCCGUUUCUUUAUCCGAUUUCUUAGUAGAAGCACAAAGGAAGAUCAAGAUGGAAAAUAUGAAGAAAAAUGAGAUGGGGAUCACGAAGAUAAGAUGUGUAGAACAAGAGGCCAUGGGAAAGCUUGGUAAAGGCCUUGCCAUGGUUACAAUAAGGAGGUAGCUAGGAGUGGAAAUUCAAGUUUAAUUAUUAUGAUUUGCAGAAGCUGAGAUAUCUAUCUAGCUAGCUCUUCAAGUACUGUUGUAAGUAUGAGUCAUUCUGUGCUGACGUGGAAUCAUGUUGUUAGUCCAGUGACAAAGUGGCUCCCACCCUGGUUCACCAUGUAGUGCAGGCUGCAUGGACUACUUGACCACUUGACUUAAAGUCGUCUCGAAUGGUUUUCCAACUAUCUUCAAUUUUGUAAUAUGUUUAAUGGAACUGAUGCCUUACUUUGCUUGCUUUGUAUGCGAAGGAAGAAAAGUUUGGAGAGGCUUCUAAGCCAAACAAUACGCUUACCAAAUUAAAAGUUUGAACGCUUGUGGGCACGAUACACUUACCAUACGAGGGUAUUGCAUAUAAUGCUUGUCUUCUUUUAUGGGGACCUUAUUUGUCCUUUCCUUUACAAUUAACGGACUUUUGCCAUUCAAACGAGAAAGCUUUGUGUGGAGCUUACCUUGUCAUUAGACUUCGUUAAGUGGCACUACAAUCCACUCAAAACUCGUCAUGUGACUAGUUUUAAAUAUAAUCUUUUAUCGUUCUUUUAUAUUUAAAAUUUUAAUAAUUAUUUUUUCUAUUAAUAAUAUAUAUUAAUCUAAUGUUUCCUCUCUUUUUUCUUCUUUCCCUCUAUUUUUUCUCUUCCCAAAUUCCCCUCCACUUUGUUUUGCCGUAGGUCUUUAUUUUUUUCGUUCUUUAUAGAACUUGGAAGCAGCCUCUCCAUAAAUGGGGGUAAGGCUAGCCGACAUUCACCUCUCCCAGACCCUGCGUAAAGCGGGAGCCUUGUGCACUGGGUACGACCUUUUUAUAGAACUUGACAUGAAUAACCCACAUAUUAGGGUUUUUUUUAAUUAUAUUUGGUAGAGAUAUACUUUCUUGAAAAUAGAAAGCUACGUACUACAAUCAAAACAAAGUGAAAGAUAACAAAUAGGUUAUGAAAAAAAUUUACUCGAUAAUCUGGAAUAUGCGCUUUUGUAUUGAUAGAGAGGAGAGAAACAGUGGGGGAAUAAGAAAGAUUUGUAUUAGUUUGAGAGGAGAGAAAUAGUGGGGGGGAAAGAAAGCAAAGAAAUUUUGUGAAGAAAAAAAUGCAGAAUUUCAUAAAAAGCAGGAACCACAACUCGGAGAGAGAGAAGCACAAAACAAAGUGGAGGGAAAUUUAGGAAGAAAAAAAAAGAGGGAAAGAAGAAGAAAAAUGAAACAUUAGAUUGAUAUAUAGGCAAAUCUUACUUCUCAAUUGUCACAGUAUGCCAAAAUGACCACAAUGCAAAGUGUCCCUACAUUUGGUGUGUCUUAUAGGCAAGGAUACCAAGCCAAUCGAUAUCCACAAAGCGAUUGGAGUGAUCAUUCAAACUCUAUGUGGUGGGAGCUCAACAAGUUCAACACGAAGCAUAUUGGCAGCCAUAUGAGGAGUUCUAUUCAAGACCUAUGCAGCCACCACAACCUCAUAUACAAUAUGCUCAAUCAAAUCAGGUUCUUCUAUUGAUAAUGAUCAGAUUUUUGAAUUACUAACUUCUAUGGCGCAGGGUAUGCAAACUAGGGACAAGAAGGUGGACGAGUUGGAGAAACAAGUAGGGCAGAUUGCGGAGUUCAUGGGACAAUUUCGAGAGCAAGGCAUGUUGCCUAGUUCAACCGUUGUGAAUCCGAAAGGAGGCUUUGAAUCUGCCAAGGCAAUCAUGCUAAGGAGUGGAAAAGAAGUUGGAACUGAUCCACCACCAUCUAAAUCAGCCUAAAGAAAGGACGAGAAGUUGCAAUUCGAAGAGGAGGAUCAAGCCAAGGCCACGGCAAGGAAGGAAGCACCCUUGCCGCAGCCUCCUACAUCCUCUCAUCCAUCCAAUCCGUCCACCAUAGGUAAGAAAGUUCCAAUUCCAAUUAAUUCUAACGUUAUUCCUCCAAAUGUACCCUUCCCUAGCAGAUUUUUACAAACCAAGAACGAAGAGGAGGAAAAAGAUGUUCUAGAGACGUUUAGAAAGAUGCAUGUCAAUAUCCCACUCCUUGAGGCUAUUAAGCAAAUCUCGAAGUAUGCCAAGUUUUUGAAGAAGCUUCGUACAACAAGGAAACGUAUUCUGGAGAAAGAAAUGGUACAUGUAAGCGAAAAUGUCUCUGCAAUGUUGCAAAGAAAGCUGCCACCUAAAUGCAAAGAUCCGGGUAGUUUCACAAUUCCUUGUGUAAUUGGUAAUACAAGAUUUGAGCAUGCUAUGCUAGAUUUAGGUGCAUCAAUUAAUGUCAUGCCAUAUUCUGUUUAUGUAUCUAUGAAUCUAGGAGAACUAAAAAAUGAUGGUGUGAUUAUUCAAUUAGCCGAUCGAUCUAAUGCAUAUCCAAAAGGAGUGUUGGAAGAUGUUUUGGUGCAGGUAGACCACUUGAUUUUUCCUGUAGAUUUCUAUGUGCUUGAUAUGGAGGAUUCAGCCCACUCUUCACCAUCACCACUUUUACUUGGACGACCUUUCAUGAAGACGGCUCAAACCAAGAUUGAUGUGGCCAAGGGAGCAAUAACUAUGGCAUUUGGUGGUGAUAUGAUUAACUUUAAGAUUUCUGAAUAUGUUGAGAAUACUAAUGAUGUUCGUUCUUGUUGUGCCAUUGAUGUAAUUGAAAAUAUAGGGCAGGAAUGUUCAACAUUAAUCAAGAAAGAUGUUUAUCGUAUCACAAUCGAGGAGGGACUUGGAUUAAAGCACAAGGAGCAUGCCCCAACCUCCAAAUCACCAAAUCUGGCCAAGAGUACUCCUUGUGCAUCUGUUCAAUGUGCUGCCACUUCAUUGCAGCACAUGGGUGAGCCAUCUUCUCCACUUUCAAUUCCCAUUUCGAAUAAUAGGUUGUUACCUUGUUUGGUGCAGGUACCUAGGUGCAUUCAACGUGGUGGGAGAGUUCAUGUUGAUUUAGGGAAGCAAAGCACAAAAAUCAGGAAGGAUCAUUAUCCCUUUCCAUUCAAAGAUCUAAAGCAUGAAGUGGUUCGUAGGACAGGUUGGAAAGGAAGCAUCUCUGCAUGCCGUGGGGUCAAAUAAAGCCUUAAAGGAGUAUCGUCCGGCUGUACGACGUUAAAGCAAGCGCUUCUUGGGAGGCAACCCAGCAUUCAACAAAGGAAGACCUAGGAAUCACUCCAAUUCCAGAUUUGCAUUCCUAAAACCCUUCUUUUUGUUGUUAUUUCGUUUCUGCCAUGUUGAGUUGUUUAGUUGCUGUUUGUUUGUUGGUUUUUUAUUUGUGUUAGUUUAUGCUUGAAACAUUGAGGACAAUGUUUGAUUUAAGUGUGGGGACCAAAGUGUUUUAAUGCAAAUUCGUAAGGUUUUAUCACCCAUAACUUCCAAUGUUGUACCUUGCUGUUUUUAGGUGUUUUUAGGCUGUUUUGGUGUGUUUUAGUAUGUUUUGACAUAAAAAUUCGAAAAUCCCAUAAAAAUAUUUUGAAAAACCCAAAAAGAGUCGUUUUAAAGUUGUUUUACGUUUUUGUGUGUGUCUUAGGGUACCUUCCAACACAAUGAUGAGGAUUCAGUUUUUAAUUGCAUGACUGUUAAAGAGAGUUAUAAACAUGGAUGGAAGUGUGAUUUACUCUUUGGUUUAUGCUUGGUUGUGGUUAUAACUUAUGAAUUCACAUGUAAUCAUAAAGGAAAAAAUUAGUUUUUGUAACAUGCUUGAAGGAAGGAACUCAAACUAACGCUACAACCUUGUGAGACUUGAGCCUAAACGUUUAUUUGGAGAGUUAAUAAUUUGUGCAUUGCUAUUUUCUAAAGUCGUUGCAUGAUCUCAUUAUUCUUUGCUUGGUUACUACUUAGAAGGCGUUUCAUCAUUUAGUUCCAAAUGCUAGAACUCAUGCCCAAUUCAUUCAAAGCAUGCUAUUGAUUUGCAUAACACAUAUUCAAGAUGAAGUUGUGUAGUGACCACCACCAAAGCCAAAUUGCCGUGAACCCUAAUUCAUUUUAUGUUUAAGUUUAACCUCGUUGAGCCUUGUGUAGCCUAUGUUCUUUGAUAACCCACAAUAUCCUCACCUAGCAUAGAUUAGGACCAUCCAAACCUUUGUUCUUGAAGCAUAGUUAAGCAUGACUCAAGAUGAAUUCCUUGUGAUCAUGGUAUUGCAGAAAACAAGUGUGGGGGGAAGGGAUGUGUGUGUGUGCCAAAGACUUUCAUGUGGCACGGGUAGAAAAAGAAUAAAAAAAGAGGAAAAAAUGCGUGGAAAAUAGAAAGAAGAAAAGAAAAGUUGUGAAAAGUAUGGAAAAUAGUGAAAAAGAUGUGAAAACAAGCUCUAAAGUGUGGUUGUUGAAGAAAGGGUCCAAAACGCUUGAAUUUGGCCCUAAGUGUUGCAUGAAUCUUCCCUUCGUGUUUAAAAGUUGAUUUCUGCAUUCUAAAGUGAAUUCUAACUUUCAAUUUCAUUACUUUGCUUGCUAUCGCUUUAAGAACGUUUGUUAUCCCUAUCCUUCCUUUGUUAACCAAUACCCCAAGCCCCGUUACAACCCUUGACUUCUAUUUUGAGUGUUAUGUGUCUCAAUUUGUGGAGUUUGAAUUUGGUAUGAGCAUAUGGUGUCACUGGUUCUCGCAUUUAAGUAGUAGCAUUCCGUUCAUGAGAUCAUAACUAAAUGCUUGUUAACUCCAGAAACUGCUUUCUUUGUUAUACAUAUAUGUGAGCGCUCGUUUUCAUGUCUACAUCAAUCUUCUCACAUAUAACUAGUAUAGGGUGUGUAGUUAGAAAAUCUGAGUGAAAAUUGAGUGCAUAUCGUGUAAGGAAUUGAGCAAAUUCUCUAAGGCAUGUUACUACAUUCAAAACAUUGUUUUAAUUGGUUAAAUGUGAACUAGUAAGUGGUGACUAUGAUUAAGUAUGUGCUUAAGUGUGAAGAUGACUAAAAUCUGUGGGGAUGAUGAUUUUUAAUAUGUUAUGUGCAUUGGAAAUCCCUGAGGCAACGUUGGAAGGUUUAGGUUUUGUUUCUUUGUUUUGUUUCGUUUUGUUGUUCUUUUGUUUAUUUGUUUUGCUCGAGGACUAGCAAAAGCUAAGUGUGGGGGAAUUUGAUAGGAGCAUAUUUAUUCGACUUAGUGAGCUUGUUCUUGUGCAUUUACGUUGUGUUUUCUUAGUUAAAUUAGUCUUUUAAGCUAGUUUUAUGUGUUUUCAAGUUUUAAGGGCAAAGUAUGCAAAAACGAUGCAUUUUGGAGCCUUUUGGAGCAAAAUUGAGCUUGGAAUCGAUAUCACGUGCUUGGAACGAAAGGAAUGGACGAGAAUGAAGGAGUCCUAAUUGAAGAAGGAUUCCUAAUCAACGAAGGGGUCCUAAUUGAAGAAGGAUUCCUAAUCAACGGACGAGUCCUAGUUAAGGAUGGAUUCCUAGUCAAAGAUGGAUUCCUAGAAGAAUGAGGAUUCCUACUCGAACAAGGUUUCCUACUUGAAGUAGGAAAGUUAAGCCUAAAGUUUCCUAUUUUGGGUUGAUCUUUCCUAAACCUAGAUGGCCUUAAGUUUCAGCAACAUUGGUGGUUUCCUAAGUGUUUUUGGACAUAAAGAAAGGUUCUAGAACACUUCCUUAUCCUUGUCGUGGGUUAUGUCAUAUUUCCCCUUGGUUUUGGGCUUCUAAAAGUCCUAUCCUUUUCCCCCCAUACCUGCUGCACCUAUUGGACUUUUCCUCUUAGAAUUCUGAUUGUAAAGCCCUUUUCCUGAUGGAUUUGGGUUCUCCAAGUCCACAUCUAAUUACCCUAGGGUUUAAGGUGCCUAUAUAUACUCAUAUUUCAACCUUGGCCGAAUUACCACCUCUCAUAUACAUUAAUUCACACCAAAAACCAUCCCUUGCUCUCUGCCGCAGCCUUCCACCACCAAUCUCCACAAUUCCUGACCAAAACCACCCCUUGCCGCACCACCCAUCCAUCCUAAACACCACCAUUGAUGGAGAAUUUGUGAAAACAUGUUCAUUUGAAUAACAUCAUAUAGCAUGCAAUUAACAAUUAAAGGCGGAAUCAUGCUUGCAUGCACUCAAAAACAAAACAUUACCCAUGAAAUUCAAAGCCUAGUAGAUUGGUGAACCCAGACUCAACUCAAAUCAAAGUGAGUUGAGAAAUUAUACCUUUGUAGAUUCCUCUUUGCAUAAGCAAAGGCUAAUCACCCAAAGAGAGGGCCUUCAUUCCUUGCUUCUUAGAUCCAUGGAUUUGGAUGGAAGAAUAGGUUUCUCCAAGUUCCCAAAGUAGAGAACCUCAAAGUCUCCACACCAAGGUUAGAUUUAAGUAGAAAUGAGUGACCUAGAGGAAGCAAGAUUGCUAGCUAAAUUCCUCUAGGGUGGCCGGCCUCUUUAGAGAGAAAGGAGAGCUUUGUUUUCUCAUCCUUUCCCAAAAAGAAACCCUAAAUGAAUUUUGGCUAUAAAGUCAUAUUUAUACCUUAAUUCAUUGGAGUGGCAAACUUGUAAAUAAGUCCAAAACCCACUCCAUCUCUAAAUGGCCGGCCAUAGGGAUUCUUUAGGCUAUUUGGGCCUUUGUGAAUCAUUAUUCAUUAAGUUGUCAUACAACUUAAGUCAAUGGACUUGACGUUCGAAGCCCAUUGGGCCUUAAGGUCCAAAACUAUCCCGAGGUCUUUAACGAACUUAUUCGUUUGAUUAAUUAACAUAUUAAUUAAUCCUUGCCAUAAAUAAUUAAACCAUUUAAUUAUUCUUACUCAUCUCCGAUGUUUCUUCAAUCUCUACCUUACUCGGUGUACGAUCCAUUAGGUUCCUUUUAGCGAGGCAGUGGGCGAUUAAAACUCUUUCAAAUCGAUUGUGAAUUGAAACUUACUUUCAAUUCUCCCUUUAGUGUUUAUACACGUUUAGGGCUUCCACAAACCAUGAGUGACACCUAGCAGCAUAUCAUGGUUACCCAAGCUAAUCAGAAGAGGUGGAGAACCUAUUCAGUUUAGGAUUACAAUGCAAUACGGUCUUUCUCUAAUACAAUACUCUUGACCACAUUGUUUGGUUUGAUAGUUUAUUCAUGUCUACUAUCCAAUGUGAUUCAUUUACUUAUAUGAUUACCUUAAAUGUGAUUUGGAACGCCUUCCUAAAUCUCAUUCAUACUUUGGCCAAAGAUUCUUAAUCAUAUCAUAGAGUAUUCUCCCUCAAACGGUUUGAAGGUUAGAGAUCGCUUGUUGCGCAUUCACUUGCCUUCAUGGCUAAGUGGCUUAACCCCAACGAUGUCGUGGACACCCGCAGAUAGGGUGACUUUGACAUAAUCAAAGAUCAAGGACCUAACCACAAGACAACUAUGAUGCCUCAGGUCAAAUGACUACUUUGCAUUAUCCCAACUAUGAGUUCUCAUGUGACAUGAGUAUGAGAACUCUUCGUUGAUCGUGUUCUGUGAACUCAUUCUCUAUUGAGCACCUACGUACUUGUCUUGGUGUCAAACACACCAAUGACUCGAGACUAGUCAAACACAUAUUCCUUGGACUUAUCGUUUAAGCAUAUAACAUUUAUAUGAGAUGGCUCAAACAAUAAUCUUUGCCCUUUAUAUUUAAACUACAUUAGUUUAAUAUGUGAAAUGUCCGUAAAGUAUCAUCAUAUAAUUGGUUUUAGGGCACAUUUCUAACAAUCUCCCACUUGCAUUAGAGCCAAUCAGCGAGGUCAUCAGUGAUGAUACCCCUUCUGUAGUCAUUUCAUAAAUGGCUGAGUAGUAGGCCUAGACAAUGGAUAUCUAUAUGUUAUCCAUAGAAGCAACCUUGAGAAUAACGACGUCACCAUUAUACAUGAUUCUUAAUCAUGUGGUUCAGUCUCUCAUUUGAGUUCGGACCUUGAUGAGACCUUGAUUCCCUGGCUUGAGCUAUCGCCCCAUUAGUGUCAUACACUUUCUGGUUGGAACCGAAUAGAGAGUUCAUAAAUGAACUUUCCCAUCCAAACAACAUUGUUGUAAACUUCUAUAUGGCGAUAUAUUUUGCAUUCAUAAUGGAACACACUAAAGUCAUUACUUUAAUGUUUCCAUCCAAAUAUCUCUUUAGUCAUAAUAAAGAGAUAUCUGUUUAUCUCUUCAUUCAUAAUGAAGAAACUUCCAAUGAUGGAUUAGAUUCACAAUCUAAUACAUUUACGCUUCCAUUACGUUACUCUAAUUCUUCCUCAUUCUUUGAGGAAUCUAUCCUUUAGUAUUUCUUAAAUACCUAAGGAUUCACUUGACAGUUGCCAUGGUUCUGAUCCUGGGCUUGCACUGAUAUCGUCUUGUACCGUUCUUGGUACAACUCAUAUCAAUGUUUUCAUACAAUAUGAAAUACAUAAAUCACCUUUCUGCUUAUGCAUAAAGGAUUCUAUUUACGCAUUAUUUCUUUGGGAGUCAAAGAGUACGUUCUCUUUGAGAAGAGCAACUUCUUAGUCUUACUAGAAUUGUCCAUUUGAUUGAAGUUUAUCAUCAAAUGAGAAACUUCCUAGCAUCUCUUGUCUAUUAUUAGGGAUUGAUAUAAUCCAAUUAUAUCCUAAAAUCUAUCAAUAUAGAUUUUCAUCCCAUGUAUAUAGACUAUGUCUCCCAUAUACAUUCUAUCUUCAUAUAAUGUUUUAAAGUCAUAACUUUAACGAAGAAGUAUUCUUUUCAUUUCCAAAAUUAAUAUAUCAUAUAUAUUUAAAUUUUAGGAACAUGAUUAACUCCCACUAAUCUUUUGUAAACCUAGUAAACAAAAUAUUCAUUUACAUCUUUAUGAGAAAUCAAACGAUUUGAUCCUUUUCUCAUAAGAUGCUUAUAGCUCCCACUAGCUUGCUAAGAUUCAUGAUGGAUGGAUCUCUACAACUUACAUGUCUUGUGAUUUAUAGUUUUAGACAUAUAUUAUCAAGACUAUCUUAAUAAUGGUUUUAGAAACCCAUAUUAUGUCCAAACAUUGAAUCACCAUUUAGUUGUAUCUAGCAAUCUUCGAAUUAAUUGAAACCAAGACUAUCUCAAAGAUGGUUUCUUCAAAGUCAACCAUUAUCUUUGAUUGUAGUCACCUUAAGCUACCAAUUAGCUUAUGAAGGUUUCAUUAUUUCGGGUCAAAUGGUACUUUACCAUUUCCUUGAGUAUAUAUCGUAUAUACAUUCAAUGUAGUCAUAAGGAUUUUCAUUCUUAUUUCUUUCGAAUUAAGAGGUGCAACUCUAUGACAUAGUCAUAAAGUUCAAACCAUUCAACUGAGACGGUUUAUAAAUCCUUCUUGACUACCUUGGAGCUUUUGGUAUAGGAACUAGGUUGUUAUAUUUGUUGAUUAUUAUCUUGUCUCUCAAAGUUCUAUCUCUCAUUCAUUUGCACUUAGGCAAAUCAUAUUGUAAGAUUACAAUGAACUACCCAACAAAACAACAUUUGUUAGUUGGUUUAUAGAAGCGAUAUCCAAAAGUUAAUUUAAGGAUAUCCCACAAGAUUGUUAUCAAACAAAUAUUGCUUAUUAGCUCACAACCCCAAAUCUUAACAUGCUUGAGAUUUUCUUUCUUUCCAACUACAUCUUAUGGAGUCAUGAAAAUUUUGGAAAGAUCUUCUAAUUUACAAUCAUAUUGUUUUAGAAGUAUAUAUCCUAUAUAUGGGUAAUAGAUAACAUCCAACGAACUAAAUCUUAUUCAAGUUCGUUCUUCUCCUAAUGGAGAAAUACAUUAUCUUAUUAUGCUAUUUUCCUUGAUAUCUUUCAAGGAAACUCAUCUAAAGUGUUACCUUUCCUUUGGAUCAAAUCUAAGGAGGUAAAUAUUUUAGACGUCUUACUCAUCAACUUACAUUUCUUGAAUUCUUUGAAACCUUUUGCAAAGUAUUCGGACUUGUGUUUAUUCAAAAUAAACUAUAGUCCAACCGAGAGUGAUCUUCGGUGAAUGUCAUAUAACAUGAGUAGUAUUAUGUUGUGGACAAGUGCCACUAACAUCUAAGUGAAUUAACCUCAACAACUUUGUGAUUCUUUCUUCUUUCCAAAAUAAUAAAGAUUCGAACAUUUCGUCUCUAUACAAUUUUAACAAGAAGGUAUUGGAUCCGGAUCUAACGAUCCAAAGCAUCCAUCUUUCACCAACUCGUAACUUAUGUUUUUAGAGGUAUCACAACUUAGUUGGGAUUAGUCACUACCUUGCAACCUUUUGGGUUUUAAGCAUCAUUAUAUUCUAAACAGUUAACAAUACCAUAUCAUCUCUACUAUAGAGACAAUCAAUUAGAUUACUAUAAUCCAAUCAUUGAUUAAUAAAGAACAAUGUUUUGUCAAACAAAACAUUCAUCCAUCUUUACUAUAGUGACGGAAUUAAGUUCCUUAAAAUUGGAAUGUAAAGACAAUCUUUGGUUUUUCCAAUUUCUUUGGUAGUUCAUAUGAGGAAGUAAGUACUAUCUGCUUUCGCAGAGAUCUAUAUUUUAUUCACGUUCCGAAUGUGAAGCACCUUUUCUUCUCUCAUAUAUCUUCUACUUCUUAUUAGUCACACUUUUACAACGAUUGUAAAACAUAGUUGCUAAUACGGAAUCCAGCAUUCAAGUAGAAGAACUAACUGUUUUGAACUAUUCAAGAACAAUUUACAACACCUUCGAAAGGUGUGUUCUUGACACUUGCAAGACAUUUCUUGCAAAUACCCCUUCCAAUGUCCAUCCUUUCAUAAAAAAAGUUUGUUGCCUUGGAGUUUAUUUUAUCUUCUUCAUUUGACUUCUCCUUUGACUACAAUAGUCAUGGUCCCUAAACUCCCACUAUCUCUCUGAAACUUAUUUCAAUUGUGUUAUAUACACAUCAAACAUUUUGGAAAGCAUGUGUUUAUUGUUCACUACAUAGUUUACAAUAAACUUAGUGAACCAUUAGGAUAGGGACAUAAAGGUGAAGUCUUAGCCUAGUUUCCGUCUCGUUAAGUGGUUUAUCACUUCAACACUCAAUGAUUCAAAAUCAUCAUAAGUCCAUGUUGAUGGACUAUUUUUGUCAAACAACCAUUAUGUUCUAAACAUAAUUACAAACUUUCAAGAGUUGUUCAAGGCAACUCUCAUUUCUUCAUACAACAAUUUGUAAGUGAAGAAUCAUGGCACAUAAAGUGUCCAUGCCCUUGUGCUUACUUCUAAAGUUCCUUGUUCAUGUAACAAAAAAACAAGCACUAAUGUUUGCAUUUAACUAAGAGUUGUUCAAAGCAACUCUUAUUUCUGCAUACAACAAUUUGUAAUUGAAGAAUUAUGACAUUAAAAGUGUUGUCCUCUUUAUGAUAGACUUUUUCUAACAUAUUCUUCUAAUGAUACAUUAUCAAUAGGAAGAUUGUGAGGAUGAGACUACUUAGGUACAUUUACAAGCCAUUAAAGACAAUCUAUGGUUUUGUAGUACCAAGUCCGGAAACUAAAGCUUUCGGCUUUUAUUUGUCAAGUGUUAGAUAGCGUUUGCAAAUAUAUUGGUAAAUAAAUACAUAACGAAUAUAAAUCGAUUGAUUUUAAGCCAUUUGAUCCGGGUCUUUAAAUCAAAUAGCACCACCCACUAUUUUUGGCAAAUUCCAUAUCCCUCAUUGGAAUUCGAGAGUUUUAGAGGAAACUCUUAGUAGGGUAUGGGAGACUCACUACUACUAAGCCCACCUCACAAUGAUAUGAUGUUGGCUAGCAUUAAUAAUAAUGAGAGAGUACGCUUACUCAUUUGCAUCUCUUGCAAGUACCCAUCUUAUUUGGCCUCUAGAGAAUGUCACCUCACAAUGAUAUGAUGUUGGCUCCAUUGCACUUAGUUAAGUCAUUCCCACCAUGUAAGUUCGGGUAGGGGUUCAAGAACAACCUCACAAUGAUAUGAUGUUGAUCAUUCUCGUUGCCUACGUCUCACAUCAUCAAGUAUGCAUAUAGACUCCUCCUGAGUGUAAGCACGCACUUUGUACUCCCCCAUGAUAGGGUGAAGCCGGUGUACGAGUCACAAACGAUCGGAGCCUACCACGGUGGAAGGCCACAAAAGAGUGUUCAAAGCACUCUCACGCUUAUCAACUUAAUAAUGGUUUGGUUGAGGGUUUUUAGGUCUCAUCACAUAUAAAUAUUCAUUUUAAUCUUUAUUAAAACAAUUUUGGUCCUAUUACAACUAUUGGUCCAUUUGAUUGAAUUUAGUUGUAUAUAAUACUCCCACUAUGCUUAUAAAACGGUUUUUAAAGCAAGAGUACAUGAUACUACUAACAUAAACUUUGCAUUCAUUUGAUGAACUAUAUAGUUGCCUUAGGGCCUUAGGAUGACUAUGAACCUUUGUUUAGAUUCAACACGAGCCUAGUGUUGAAUCUAGGUCUAGGGAUGGUGAUUGAUUUUAGUUACGCGUUUAAUCACAUUAAGGCGUGUUGUCUUAGGGGCGUGGGACCCAACUACUUCAAUUUCAUGCAUAUCAAAUAAAGCAAGAAAGAAGUACUUCAAAGUAAAGAUGAGCUUAUGCUCUUUACAACAUUUGAAUGAUUCAAAUUACUUUAAAGUAAAGAAGAGCUUAAGCUCUUUUACAACAUUUGAUCAAAUCAAAUUACAACCAAAAUCUAAUCUACAAAUUCCCAUGGUUCAAACAAAUUUGAAACGGCCUUUCACAUAGCUCAAUUAUAUUAGGCUUAGGUUCAUAAUAACCCUUUAAUUAAUUAACGCUUUAACUAAUUAAAUUGAAUGCAACAUUUUCAUUUGGUUUUUGUAUCCAUAAAAUUGAUUUAAAUGGAGCUAAAUGAAAUGAAAAUCCAAUUCUCAUUUAAAGAGACAAAACAAUUUUGUUCUCAACCUAAUUUGGGCCAAAAUGCAAUUACCACAACUUUUUGGGCUAUAUUGCAAAAACACAAACUUUUGGGGUCACUUUGUAAAAACACAAAAGUCCACUACUUCAUGUAAUUACAACUAGAACCCAAAAAUUCAACAAAUAUAAAAACUUCAUUAAAGGAGCAAAACAAUUUGUCCUUUAGCGUUUUUAGGCCUUAACGUCAAAACGUAAACUUUCGGGUCAAAAUACAAAUACACCAAAGUAUCAAAACUUUAUGUAAUUGCAUAAAAGCCCCAAAAAUACCCUAUUUUAAUAGGGUGGCCGGUUUUAGGGAGAAAAAAGAGAAGAGAUAAGUCCACAAAAAUUUGGAAAUUUUUCAACAAUGUCAUAAAGCCUUGCAAGUGGAAUUUGGUUGGUGUGAAUCAUAAAACCAUGCAAGUGGUGUGUAAGAAGUACUUCUUACACACCCAUCACCAUUUCUAUCACCUUUCAAAAUAAAUGUUUUGUUGAUAGAAGAUUCACAUCAACCAACACAAAACAAAGACUUUAUGAAAUCAACCAAAACUUUGAAUCAAAACACCAAACCUUUUUUGUUCUUGGCAAAAAUGUCAAGAACAAUGAAGAACACUCAUGAAAAACUCAAAAAAUUUCCAUGAACAUUUUUCACCCAAAAACAUCCCAAAACCAUUCAAACUUAAGGGAAAUAACAUAUAACCAAACUAGGGUACAUAGGGGUUCCCAAAGUUACUUGAAAACACUUUUAACAAGUCAAACAAGAACCCAAAAAUCCACCCUUUGGAUUUGGCCGAAAAUUCCCAAAAACAUGGCACCAAAUUUUAGCUCCAAUAUUCAUGCUCAUAUGAACUACAUCUACAACAUUUGAGAUGGCAAAUUUUCUAACAAAAUUUACAUUCAAAGAAACAAGAAUAAAGCUUGUAACAUAUUACAACUUUUAAAUCAAAUACUAUGAAGAACAAAACCCAAAAGGAUUCACCAACUACUAGACCUAGGCUCUGAUACCACUUGAAGGAGAAUUUUGUGAAAACAUGUUCAUUUGAAUAACAUCAUAUAGCAUGCAAUUAACAAUUAAAGAUGGAAUCAUGCUUGCAUGUACUCAAAAACAAAACAUUACCCAUGAAAUUCAAAGCCUAGUAGAUUGGUGAACCAAGACUCAACUCAAAUCAAAGUGAGUUGAGAAAUUAUACCUUUGUAGAUUCCUCUUUGCAUAAGCAAAGGCUAAUCACCCAAAGAGAGGGCCUUCAUUCCUUGCUUCUUAGAUCCAUGGAUUUGGAUGGAAGAAUAGGUUUCUCCAAGUUCCCAAAGUAGAGAACCUCUAAGUCUCCACACCAAGGUUAGAUUUAAGUAGAAAUGAGUGACCUAGAGGAAGCAAGAUUUCUAGCUAAAUUCCUCUAGGGUGGCCGGCCUCUUUAGAGAGAAAUGAGAGCUUUGUUUUCUCAUCCUUUCCCAAAAAGAAACCCUAAAUGAAUUUUGGCUAUAAAGUCAUAUUUAUACCUUAAUUCAUUGGAGUGGCAAACUUGUAAAUAAGUCCAAAACCCACUCCAUCUCUAAUGGCCGGCCAUAAGGAUUCUUUGGGUUAUUUGGGCCUUUGUGAAUCAUUAUUCAUUAAGUUGUCAUACAACUUAAGUCAAUGGACUUGACGUUCGAAGCCCAUUGGGCCUUAAGGUCCAAAACUAUCCCGAGGUCUUUAACGAACUUAUUCGUUUGAUUAAUUAACAUAUUAAUUAAUCCUUGCCAUAAAUAAUUAAACCAUUUAAUUAUUCUUACUCAUCUCCGAUGUUUCUUCAAUCUCUACCUUACUCGGUGUACGAUCCAUUAGGUUCCUUUUAGCGAGGCAGUGGGCGAUUAAAACUCUUUCAAAUCGAUUGUGAAUUGAAACUUACUUUCAAUUCUCCCUUUAGUGUUUAUACACGUUUAGGGCUUCCACAAACCAUGAGUGACACCUAGCAGCAUAUCAUGGUUACCCAAGCUAAUCAGAAGAGGUGGAGAACCUAUUCAGUUUAGGAUUACAAUGCAAUACGGUCUUUCUCUAAUACAAUACUUUUGACCACAUUGUUUGGUUUGAUAGUUUAUUCAUGUCUACUAUCCAAUGUGAUUCAUUUACUUAUAUGAUUACCUUAAAUGUGAUUUGGAACGCCUUCCUAAAUCUCAUUCAUACUUUGGCCAAAUAUUCUUAAUCAUAUCAUAGAGUAUUCACCCUCAAACGGUUUGAAGGUUAGAGAUCCCUUGUUGCGCAUUCACUUGCCUCCAUGGCUAAGUGGCUUAACCCCAACGAUGCCGUGGACACCCGUAGAUGGGGUGACUUUGACAUAAUUAAAGAUCAAUGACCUAACCACAAGACAACUAUGAUGCCUCAGGUCAAAUGACUACUUUGCAUUAUCCCAACUAUGAGUUCUCAUGUGACAUGAAUAUGAGAACUCUUCGUUGAUCGUGUUCUGUGAACUCAUUCUCUAUUGAGCACCUACGUACUUGUCUUGGUGUCAGACACACCAAUGACUCGAGACUAGUCACUCUCCCUGAGAGAAGACACAACACGUACUGAUCUUAACGGACUGUCAAUGCCCAAUUGGCAAUCCUAUGAUCAGGAACGUUUAGGAUGUGUAUACGAAAUAAUGGUCUCAUGAAUCUAACUUCUUUAGAUUGCAUUCUCCCAAUCACAUAUUCCUUGGACUUAUCGUUUAAGCAUAUAACAUUUAUAUGAGAUGGCUCAAACAAUAAUCUUUGCCCUUUAUAUUUAAACUACAUUAGUUUAAUAUGUGAAAAUGUCCGAAAAGUAUCAUCAUAUGAUUGGUUUUAGGGCACAUUUCUAACAACCAUAAUAUCCCCCAUCCAUUCUACACCAUUCAUAACCCCAAAACCUGUCCCCCAAACUUUGUGCCGCAGCAAGGAGGAAGGGGAAGUUCGUGGAUGCACCUGUUGUCCAAGUUGGAGUGUCUAGGUGUUCUCUUUCUUUGGAUUUCAAUGUCUAAACUUAUUUAUCUUUGCUUUGUGCGUAUGAGGAACUAAACCCCCCUUGGCUAGGGGGGAUUCGAAACCAUGUUUAUACUUGCUAUAUGAUUUGAUUACUUUCAAUUGCGUUUCAUAAGUUGUGGAUUCAAUUUGCUUAUCUAUUUGAAUUAAACUGGUUUGUGUGUGUUGUUUGAGAGUGCAGGCUUAAUUUUCAUGCAUAAAUCUAAUGCUAGGAUAUAAGGGAGUUUCACCUAAUUGUUAUGAACUUAUAUUCACUGGUAGUAAAGGUUGUUGAUCACAAUCGCGUUAAGUAAAUUCUUGGAAUAUGUUUCAUGUGCUUUCAUAGUUACUAGUGCCUCGUCAAUACUUAUGAUUUUCAUUGAACGUAAUGAUCUUUGAUUGUAUCUCUAUUAUGCACUUUCAUGUAGGGAAUUUUUGAGGAAUAAUUUGAUUGUGAUGCGCUUUUUCCAUCCAAUUCAUUGACUUAAGCGUAUCUAAUUAACUUGGGGUGUUGAGAAUUCAUGGUUUAUUGAAAGACAAUUGGAAAUCGUUUUGUAUGCAAGUGUGACAUAUGUGGAGAAGAACCCCUUAGCUAGCUUUCCAUCCAUUCACUUUAAUCAAAUUCGUUUUAAAAUCUGUUUAGUUUACAAUGUUUUUGUUUUGUUUUCAAUUUCGUCAAAACCAAAUCCCCCUUUAUUUUGAAGUGUUAGAUUAGUUACAAAUCAAUUUAGUUUGUGUGUUUAAGUGUCUUGAGUCAAGUUAUAAUCUAUUUUCGUCCAAAUUUGUGUUUGGUGUUCAAAACUGCCCAGAUUGUGUUUUUAAGGCAGUUUUGAGUGUUUGUGCUGUUUUGAGUUUUUUUGGUUUGCUUUAGUGUUUUAGAGUUUAGUUUUGCAUUCUUUGAGUCUAGUUUAGUGUUUUAAACUUUGUUUUACGUUUUUGAGUCAGUUUUCAAGUGAUUUAGCAAUCCCUCCUAAUCCCCGGCCUAGAACGAUCCCUACUUACAUACUUUGCUACAAUUGAUAAAAAGAAGGUUUAAUUUGUGUGCUUAUAUAUUUCGCAUCAUUAGACUACCUAAAGUUCGUAAAUACCAAGGAAAACCUUCAAAUUCCCUUUGUUUGCUCAAAAUGGAGUUGAAAGUGUUUAAAACUGGACUGAUUCACUUGCCUCCAUGGCUAAGUGGCUUAACCCCAACGAUGCCGUGGACACCCGCAGAUGGGGUGACUUUGACAUAAUCAAAGAUCAAGGACCUAACCACAAGACAACUAUGAUGCCUCAGGUCAAAUGACUACUUUGCAUUAUCCCAACUAUGAGUUCUCAUGUGACAUGAGUAUGAGAAUCUUGAAUCUUGAGAACUUGUUUCUGUCGUGAUCGUGUUCUGUGAACUCAUUCUCUAUUGAGCACCUACGUACUUGUCUUGGUGUCAGACACACCAAUGACUCGAGACUAGUCACUCUCCUUGAGAGAAGACACAGCACGUACUGAUCUUAACGGACUGUCAAUGCCCAAUUGGCAAUCCUAUGAUCAGGAACGUUUAGGAUGUGUAUACGAAAUAAUGGUCUCAUGAAUCUAACUUCUUUAGAUCACAUUCUCCCAAUCACAUAUUCCUUGGACUUAUCGUUUAAGCAUAUAACAUUUAUAUGAGACGGCUCAAACAAUAAUCUUUGCCCUUUAUAUUUAAACUACAUUAGUUUAAUAUGUGAAAUGUCCGUAAAGUAUCAUCAUAUGAUUGGUUUUAGGGAAUGAUCGGAUCAUAUUUAUAUAUAUUUUUACUUCGAAUUCACUCGUCUUUUCUUAGUUAGUUCCUUAUAUUUUUGAGCUAUUUAUGUUAUUUUUGUGUUUAUAGGAUUUGUUAUGCAAAGAAAAUAAAAAUAGCAUAAAUGAGUUUUAAAUAAUAAACAGAAAGAAUAUUGAUUUUAUUUUUGGAUUGGGUUUUAUUUUGGUUUAUUUUAUAUGCAUUGAAUUGAUUGUUUCAUAGAAUAUUGGUUUUGGAUUUGUUACUUGAAUUUGUUCUUAAUUCCCAAACUGCUACUAAUUUAGAGUUUAUGAUACAAAUCAAUUUUGUAUUAUAUUGUGAAAGGAGAAUCCAAGAAGGUAGGCUGCCAGCGGAAGAAAAGUAAAAGGUCAGAAAAGAAAAAUAGGGAGACAGCUGGGGGAAUAAUUUUGGAACAAGAGGAGAGAUAGAAGGGAUUGAUGCGGGCCCUUGCAGGUGGAAAGCUGUGAAGACCGACAGAAUUGAGGGCAGCAAGGCUGCCAGAGAGGGGAAAGAAUAAAAUAAAAGGCAGGGAGAGGCUGCUGCUUUAAAGCAGCGUGAGAUAGAGACACGGGGGGAAUAACGCUGUCCUUUGGCAGUGAGGUCAGGGAGAGACGGAAAGCAGAAGGAAGUCAGGGAGCUGCCUUUGCAGCUGGCGAGUCAGAAAACAGCGUGCAGAAAGUGAGGGCAGAGAGGCACUGGCAGACUGGAGGAAUAAGAAACACGAAAAGCAAAGUGAGGGGAGGAGGAUAUAGAAGUGAGACGGGGGAAUUGGUGGGGGGAGAGGGCUGCCCUUUGGGCAGCGUGAAGCUGCGGAGAGAAGGGAAGGGGGAAGCUGCCCUUUGGCAGCGAGGUCAGACAGCACAGGAAAACAGAAAGAAGGAGGGCAGCUCGCAGAGACGCAGGAAGAGGACCGAGAGGAGAGGGCUGCCCUUUGGGCAGCGUGAAGCAGCUUGAGGAAGGGAAGUCAGUGGCGAGGAGGACAGGAGGUCAGCAUGAAAAUGCAGUUCAGAGUCCAUGCAGUUCAGAGUCCAAGCAGCAGAUCCUUUCUUUCGGUUUAAUCUUUCCAAACUCCUAUUUUAUUUUUAUUUUAAUAAUGUGUAAUUAAUUUUAUUUUGGCUAGAGGUUAAUUUGAAACCAUGAAUAUAUUUGUAAUAUGAAUUGAUUACCUUCGGUUGUGAUUUCAUAAGUUGUGAUUUCAAUUUACUUAUCCGUUCGUAUAAAAACUGAUUUGUGUAUGUUGGUUGAGAGUGCACGCUUAAUUUACAUGCAUGAAUUUGAUGCUAGAAUAUAAGUGAAUUUCACCUAAUCGUUAUGAACUUAUUUUCACAAGUAGUAAAGGUUGCUAGUCACAAUCACGUUAAGUAAAUUCUUGGCAAGAGUAUCAUGCUUUUCAUAGUUACGAAUGCCUCGUCGAUGCUUAUAGUUUUCACAAAGUUUAAUGAUCUUUGAUUGUAUCGCUAUUGUGCUUUUCACGUAGGGGACUUUUGAAGAAUGUUUUGAAUUGUUGUAUGCGUUUUUCCGUCCAAUUCAAUAACUUAAGGAAAACUUGAAGAUUAAAAAAGUGCUGUUCACGGUUAAUCUGGAGUAUUGAGAUUCACAAUUUAUUGAAAGAAAACAACUGAAAAUCAAUUUAGGUUGCAUAUGUGUCAUGUGUGGAGAAGAACCCUCUAGCUAGUCCGUCAUUUAUCCUUUCACCUUAAUUUCAUGUUUUUGUCAAUUCUGUAAUUUAAUUAAGUUUAAUUUACUUUUCAUCAAAACCAAACACCCAUCCAUUAUUAAAUUAUAUUAUUUAUUUAGUUUUCUUUAUUGUUAGUCUUUUAAUUUAAUUUCCGUCCAUUUCAGUUCCUAGUGUUUAAUUUAAUUGUUUUCAUUAUUUUGAGUCAUUUUAAGUGUGUUUCGAGUUAUUAGAGUUUUUAGCCUAGUUUUGUGUCCUUGAGUCUUAUUUAAUAUUUUUAAGUUAAUUUAAUAGAUUAGCAAUCCCUCCUAAUCCCCGGCCUAGAACGAUACCCUACUUACAUCUAUACUACAAUUGUCAAAAAGAGGGUUUAAUUUGUGUGCUUAUAUAUUUCGCAUCAGGGAACAUUUCUAACAAUGGGCCGAUCCAUGGCUCUAUCGAUUCUGGGCUAGCCUGGAGACUAGCUUGGGCUGUGUGCUAGCCUAUCUGCUGGGCUGGAGUGGAUUGGUUGGGUGCCAGCCUAAAGAGUUCCCUGUGAAACUACUCUUAGUGGCAUGGUGACGUCAGUUGGUAGUGUCACAAAAGUUUCAUUGUUCCGUAGAACUCAGAGAAGAAGGAAGGUCAGCAAUUUCGAAUUGUCUAAGAAAGAGGACGAGUUGCAAGUUUUAUGAAAAAACCUGGGCAAAAUGACAUUGUUUGGGUAGGGUUAGUUUGAGGAAAAAAAAAAGCCCAAAAAACCUUAAGGCGCGACUCAGCCGCCUAGGCACGCCUCGACCACAUCUAAGCGAGUUUAAGACUAUUCCUAUUGAGCAAGGGCAUUUUCACCACCGCCAUGCCUCCAAAUAGCGCCCUAGGUGCUCUUGAAGGCACGUUUUUUGAAACAUUGUGUAUAAUACACGUGCAUACGUACUGUUCAUAUUUAUUACAUGUUAUUUAGACAUAUUUUUCAAUAAUAGGCAUACAAUUCACGUAUCUGAUACGUAUUUUUGACAUAUUAUUGAAAAAACAAAAUUAAAUAAUAUUAAAAUUUUGAAAAAUGAUCGAAUUUUUUUUUUUUUUUUUUUUGAAAGAAGUACAAUAUUCAUUAAAAGAGAAUUGGAAUACAUACAAACUAAGGAUAGGGUGCAAACUGGGCCUCAAUAAAAACCUUGUCGGGGAUUUCAACCCGGUCGAAGGAAAAGAAUGUCCCGCACAAACAACAAGCCUAUCCUCAAAUGACAAUAUAAAGAGAAAUUACAAUCCUUCCUCAAAUAAUGUCUUGGAGCAAAUUUGGAGGAUCCUUGAACCACACAACUUCCUGAGAACCGCCAAUCCCCAUUUGAGCAAGUCGAUGGGUUGCCAAAUUGCCUUCCCUCCGGACAUGGCUACACACUGCAUUCGACAAUUCUGUAAUAAAAGACCUCGAAUCAUUUAUCAUAGAGCCACACAUUGAGUAAUUCUCCCCAUUACCCUUCAUAGCCACCACCACCACACUAGAAUCGCCUUCGAAUUGAACCUUCACAUCACCCGAAGAAAAAGUCUUAACCAGCCCCACCGCACAUUGAGCUGCAAUCAGCUCCGAGUGAAGGGCCGACACAGAACUUUCAAUUGGUCCCGCAAUGGCUACAACAAAUUUCCCAGUGUGCUCCCUAACCACAACGCCAUAACCCCCAUUUCCCCCGAUGACCACUAGAAUUCCACGGCUCAUCGAAGUUACAUUUUAUCCACCCCUCAUCAGGUUUCUUCCACUUUUGACACUUCUUGGUUGCCUUCCAGGUCUCAGGCUUAUGCCAUUUAUGAUACUCAUGUAACCAUCCCUCGGACUUCAAGACAAUCUCGUGUGGUGCCAGUCGAGCCCUAUUCCAAAGUACCUCAUUUUGAUGCUUCCAUAAAGCCCACAGCAAAAUCAAACAGAGCUUAAGACUCACCAUGGAUAUCUGCUACACAAUAUUCCCCAAUCACUGGGCAAGAGACAUACGUUCACUCCCAUUAACCACUUUCAACCUCAGACUUCGGACCCACACUGCACUUGCCAAGCUACAAUCUCUGAGCACAUGUUCCGUUGAUUCGAUUGGCACCCCACAAACCACACACACCUCUUCACCCAUCACUCCCCGCUUACUCAGGUUCAACCGUGUAGGCAAAGAAUCCAAGCAAGCACGUCAAACACAAAUCUUCACCUUCCUCAAAACAUUUGCAUUCCAUAGCUUCUUCCAAAACUUCUCCCCCACCCCACUCCACUCAAGACUGAUGAGACACCCGCUACACCACUGCUGUGACUUGAUGCGAAAUAUAUAAGCACACAAAUUAAACCCUCUUUUUAUCAAUUGUAGUAAAGUUUGUAAGUAGGGAUCGUUCUAGGCCGGGGAUUAGGAGGGAUUGCUAAAUCACUUGGAAACUGACUUGAAAACGUGAAAACAAAGUUUAAAACACUAACUAGACUCAAAGAAUGCAAAACUAUACUUUAAAACACUAAAACAAACCAAAAGACUCAAAACAGCCCCUAAACACUCAAAACUACCUUAAAAACACAAUCUGGGCAGUUUUGGGACUCUCACACAAACUUGGACAAAUUUUAGUUUUCUAAUGAACUAAAACACUUAAAAACAUAAUCUAAGACAAGUUCUAAUUAAUAUGACUCAAAGAAAUAAGAUGGGGUUGAUUUUCGACGAAAAUAAUUAAAUUAAGACAAGAACAAAGUAAACAAAUUCUUAGACAAAUUUGGGUGAAUCAAAACACUCUAACACACAACCAAAACAGAAAUUAAACACUUUGAAACAAUAAAGUAAAAGGGGGAUUUUGGUUUUAAUGAAUUUGAAAACAAAACAGAUUGUAAGUGAAUUUGAAUGAAACUUAUGGAUGGAAGAUUAGCUAAGAGGUUCUUCUCCACAUAUGUCACACUUGCAUACAAAACGAUUUCCAGUUGCUUUUCGAUAAGCUAUGAAUACUCAACGCCCCAAAUUAACCGUGAAUUGCACUAAUUAACCCUCAGUUUUUUCCACAAGUUAUUAGGUUGGAUGAUUGCAUACGACAACCCAAAACAUUCCCUACAAGUUCCCUACAUGAAUUGCAUAAUAGAGAUACAAGCAAGAAUCAUUAAGUUCUAUGAAAAACAUAAGCAUUGACGAGGCACUCGUUACUAUGAUUUGCAUGAAACUUAUGCCAAGAGUUUACUUAACGUGAUUGUGACUAGCAACCUUCACUACUUGUGAAUAUAAGUUUAUAACAAUUAGGUGAAACUCCCUUAUAUUCUAGCGUCAAAUUCAUACAUGAAAAUUAAGCGUGCACUCUUAACCAACAUACACAAAUUAGUUUUUAUAUGAACGGAUAAGUAAAUUGAAUUCACAACUUAUGAAUCACAACUGGAUGUAAUCAAAUCAUAUUGCAAGUAUGAACAUAGUUUCGAAUCUGAUACGACCAAUAUUGCAUACAUUUUAAUGCCCUUUAGUUUAGAUUUUUGUUAUGUUUUUGAGUGAAUUUAGUUUGUUUCAUUUAGUUUUAUGUUUUUCUUAGAUUUGAAGAGUGAAGAUGAAGAAAGAAGAAAAAUGAGCAUUUUGGCGAUUGAAGUGAGUUAUGUGCCCUGGAAGCAGAAGCUGUUUGUGCAGAUCAGCCAACUUGACGGAAUAAACUGUACUUCCUCAAAAUGAACCAGCUGUUGAGCCUUAUACCAUGGGAAAGAUAUGGAUGUUAGCUUUCAGAGGAAUUUUACGGACUGUGAUUUCGAGUUUCCUAGACGAUGUUAUGAAAGUUUUUGUACAAGACGUCGGUCAGCCAAGUCUACGCGGAAAUUGCAAAAUCUGUUGGGUUUUUUCAAGUCAUAAUUCAGUCGAAGCCCAAAGCCCAAGAUAGAAAACGUUGGAGAUGAUUUUACUCCUAUUUCAAAUGGGUCUGGAGUAAUUUACUUGGGAAACUUACCUGCCACAUCAUCAAUUAUCCAAUACAAAUGAGGAAAAGAUUAAAAAAAAGACCUAAGGAUGCUAGGAUUUUGACGAAUGAUAAGGGAGAGAUUGUAGGAAGAAAAGGGGGUUCUCUGGUGAGGGAUUCUCUGCGUGUUUUUGGAGGAGCAGAAGCCGCUUUCCAUUUUUCCUAAGUUUUUCAUGUUCUUAAUACUUUUAAUUAUGUUUUCUUAUUUUAUGAGUAACUAAACUCUUUUUCUAGGGUUAGGAUGAUGCCCUAGCAUGAAUGUCUAUGGUUUUUAAUGUUAUUCAUUGGAUUUCUAGUUUCUUUUAGAUGAAUGCUUAAUCACUGUUUGAACUGUUACUAUUUGUUUGAGUUCUUUGAUUGAUCACCUUAGGACUUUGCAUCUAGUAAGAUUGGAAGAUGAAUUUGAGGCUGAACUAGCAAUAUAAUUCAAUUAGCUUCUUGUGGUUAAGUGUGGUAAAUUACAUUAUUGCUUGACAAAGAAUAAUGGUUUGCUUGGUUCCCCUUGUUUUCUAGAGCGUAAAGAGUCCUACUUGUUAAAUUUAUGCCUUAACCAGGAUAGACUGCAUGUUAGGAUAUACGACCUCUGCCUAAACUAGGAGAGAAUCAUUCACUUAAGGAAAACUAUGGUCUAAUGUGCCUGACAAGGACUUAGAUACGAGAAUUAUCAUCUAAAGAAUUGAAAGAUCCAUUGAAUGCAUUGAAACCUAAAUUAGAUUGCUUGUGGUUGAUUCCGAAUCCCUAGACUUUUCAUCACUUGCCUUAAAACACAACAUUUUCUUUUCUUUGAUUUCAGUUUUUACUUAAGGUUCUGUUUUUGUUCAUUUAUAAAAUCAUCACAACAAAUUCUUUACAUCCUUGAUUGAUUUAUUAAUUAAGAUCGAGUCUAGUUCGUUGUUUGGGGUUGUGUGUCAUUAAUAUUAUUAGAUUUGGUUUAGUUUAUCAAAUUGGAGAUUUAAUUAGAAUCCUCGUGGGAACGAUACUUGGACUUGCAACACGCUAUAUUACGACUAUCUUGUGCACUUGCAAGUUUACACCAGAAUCACCCCCUAACUAAGAGGGGUUUAGUUCCUCAUACUCACAAAGCAAAGAUACAUAAAAUUAGACAUUAAAAUCAAAGGAAAGAAAACACCUAAAAUGCUCCAACUUGGUAGCAAGUGCAUCCAAGAUUCCUCCUUUCCCUUGCUUGCGGCAGAUUGGGUUAUGGACAGAUUUUGGGUAGUUUUAUGAUGUAGAAUGGAUGGGGAAUGGUAUGGAAGGGUUUAGGGUGAGUGUGGAGGAGUGUUUGAUGGUUGGAGGGUGGUGGAGAACUAGGCAAAGAGGGUGGAAGAAGGUGGAGUGGCUGUUAUGUUUUCUAGGCACUAGAAUGGUGUUUUUGGGGUGUUUUGCUUCCUAGGGUGUGUAUGGACGAAUUUUUGUGAUAAAAUGAUGAAUAUGGGGGAUUGUCCUUUGGCCAAGGGGUGUAAACAUGUAUUUAUAGGCCCCCAAAAACCUUAGAAAAUCAGGUUAGGUUAAGGAUGAAAUGCAUGGCAAUUUGUGUGUGUGGUGUGCAAUGGUCCAAGGGUGAAAAUGAAGUAAUGAUGCAAAGUGUGAAGGGUAAAAAUGGAGUGGUGUUGUAGCUAGGGAGCAUGAAUGAUUGUGUACAUUGCAUAGAGAUGGAAAGGGAGGUGAAAUGUGUCAACAAAUGGGUCAAAUGUGCAACAACAUGUGUUGCACAUGGCAUUGGAUUCCAAAUGUGAAUAAUGGAGCAUCAAUUGGUGCAUGUAAUGGAUGUAAAUAUUGUCUAAAAUCUAAUGAGUGAAGGGAACAAGAGGUAUCAAGCAAUUGAGUGUAAUAAUUAAAUGAAUUGAAGCAUGAAAUUAGAAAUUAUGUAGGGGACAAGAGUGAUCAAGCAUGGCAUGGAAUCCAAAGGGAAUUCUAUGUGGUUUGCAUGGCAAGGAAUGCAAGUUGGGGUGACAGAUUUUUGGGCUGUUUUCUUCAUCUUUUGGACCAUAAUUCUUCAUAUUCUUGGCCUCUUUAGUUCUCAAAAUCGUCCAUCCACUUGGCCCAUGCAUUUGCUAUCCAUUCCAAGCCCGAAACAUGCUCCAAAGGCCUCCAAAAUGCAUCUUCUUGCAUACUUUGUCUUGCAUACUUGUCCAUAAAAUCUGAAAACACACGAAAAUGACUUUAAACAUUAAAAUAACUAAGGAAACAUGACAUAAAUGCACAAGAACAAGCCAACUAAGUCGCAUAAAUGUGCUCCUAUCAAAUUCCCCCACACUUAGCUUUUGCUAGUCCUCGAGCAAAACAAAGAGAUAAAACGAAACAAAGUAAAUAAAACACAACCUAAACCUUCCAACAUUUGCCUCAGGGAUUUCCAAUGCACAUGACAUGUUAAAAAUUAUUAUCCCCACAGAUUUGAGUCAUCUUCACACUUAAGCACGUACUUAAUCAUAGUCACCACUUACUUGUUCACAAUUAAUCGAUUAAAAUAAUGUUUUUGAUGUAGUAACAUGCCUUAGAGAAAUCACUCAAUUCCUUACAAGAUAUGCACUCAAUUUUCACUCAGAUUUUCUAACUACACACCCUAUACUAGUUAUAUGUGAGAAGAUUGAUGUAGAUAUGAAAACGAACGCUCACAUAUAUGUAUCACAAAGAAAGCAAUUUCUGGAGUUAAUAAGCAUGUUUAGAUAUGAUCUCAUGAAUGGAAUGCUAACUACUUAGAUGCGAGAACCAGUGACACCAUAUGCUCAUACCAAAUUCAAACUCCACAUAUUGAAACGCAUGACACUCAAGAUGAAGUUAAGGGUUGUAACGGGGCUUGGGGUGAUGGCUAACAAAUGAAGGAUAAGGAUAACAAUCGUUCUUAAAGCAAUAGCAAGUAAAGUAAUGAAAUUGAAACUUAGAAUUCACUUAGAUUGCAGAAAUCAGCUUUUAGACACGAAGGGAAAAUUCAAGCAAUAAUUAGGGCCAAAUUCUAUGUUUUGGACCCUUUCUUCAACAAGCAGCACUUUAAAACUCUUUUUCGCAUAUUUUUCAACUCCUUUUUUUUUUUUUUUUUUUUUUUUUUUUCAACUCUUCUUUUCUUUUCAACAAGCAUAAUAACUCACACUUCCCCCACACUUGUUUUCUGCCAUACAUUAAUCAAAAGAAAUACAAUUUGAAUCAUGCUUUACUAUGCUUCAAGAAUAAGGGUAUGGAUGGUCCUAAACUAGGCUAGGUAAGGAUAAUGUGGUUUAACAAAGAAUGUAGGCUAUCAAGGCUCAAUGGGGUUAACUUAAACAUAUAACGAUAUGGGAUACAUGGCAGUUUGGCUUUGGUGGUGGUAACUACACAACUUCAUCUUGAAUAUGUUUUAUGCAAAUCAAUAGCAUGCUUUGAAUGAAAUAGGCAUGAGUUCUAGCAUUUGGAACUAAAUGAUGAAACGCCUUCUAAGUAAUAACCAAGCAAAGAAUAAUGAGAUCAUGCAAUGACUUUAGAAAACAAGAAUGCACAGAUUUUAACUCUCCAAAUAAACGUUUAAGCUCAAGUCUCACAAGGUUGUAGUGUUAGUUUGAGUUCUUUCCUUCAAGCAUGUUACAAAAACUAAUUUUUUUUCUUUUAUGAUUACAUGUGAUUUCAUAAGUUAUAACCACAACCACGCAUAAAUAAAGAGUAAAUCAAACUUUCAUCCAUGUUUAUAACUCUCUUUAACAGUCAUGCAAUUACAAACCGAAUCCUCAUCAUUGUGUUGGAAGGUACCCUAAGACACAAAUAAGCACACAAAAACAACUAUUUUUGGGAUUUUCAAAACAAUUUUUCAAAUUUUUAUGAAUUUUCGGAUUUUUAUGUCAAAACACACUGAAACACUCCAAAACAGCUUAAAAAUACUUAAAACAACAAGGAACAACACUAGAAGUAAUGGGUGAUAAAUUUCUACGAAUUUCAUGCAAAACAAUGGUUACCCCCCCCCACACUUAAAUCAAACAUUGUCCUCAAUGUUUCAAGCAUAUACUCACACCAAAAACAAGCAAAUAACAAACGACAAAUAAACAUGACAAAUAUGGCAAAGUAAAAACCAGAUAGAGUAGAGUUUAAAAACGCAAAUCUGGUUUUGGAGAUAGUUGAUCUUGUUGACUUUCCACAGCUUUGAUCUUGAACUGGUUUGGAAUUCUGAGCGGGGAAUAUCAGAGUGCAGUCUGCAUUCUUCUCUGCUUGUUUCUUCUCCACGGCAGGCAGGCACGAGGUAAAGGUGUUGGUCUGUUUCUUUCUUCAAUCUUUCCAAGUGCCCACCUCUUGCUCUCUUUCUCCUUGUCCUUAGUUGAGGAUGAAUCAGCACGUUGUCUCCACAUGCUUCGAGGUAUCAUCUUCACUUCCCUUAUAAGUGAGAAACAAAGCGAAAGCAUAAGAUGAUGAGUACUCGAGAGCAAGAGUGGCUGGAGAAAGGACAGGGAGAAAGCAUGAUAUGAGAUACUCUUGCUCUCAACCCUUAUGAUAUGAAAUACUUGUGCUCUGGAUGGGUUAUUUGCAGGGGUAUCCCAGGGGAUGAAAAAUACAGAGUGACUCGAGAGGGUUUGUCGGAAAGCCAUUUCAUAGAGGAUGAAGGGUUAAGUGAGGCUAAAAGUUGGGUGAGACUGCUUCACUUUGAAGUUCAACAUUUAUAGAAUUUUCUUAAUGGCUGGGGAAGGCAUUGUUCCAUUACUCGUGUCAGCAAGCCUGGGAUAAUUUAACAGUAGUUUCCACGUGCAUUCCACUUCUCAAAAAAAAUUUGACAGAUUGCGCGUGAUUUACGCAACGCAGAUGUGCAAAUUGACAGAUGCUGACACGUCUCGAUAAAGCAGAGGUCUCUUUAAUAUCCGGAAUUUACGCUUCGAGUUCUGAGCUUCGUUGAGGGCAGAGAUUGCAUGUGACAAAUGCUGACGAGGCUGAGAGAGACAGAUGGUUGGAAUCGGUGCUUCGACAGAUUGCCCGUGAUUUUCGCAAAGCUGAGUUGCAUGUGAUGGGUGCUGACGAGGCUGAGACAGUUGACGCUCUUCGGUAUCUGGAAUUGGUGGUUUGUGAGCAAGCCCAACUUUUGAGAAAGCUGGCGCCUCUUCGAUCUCCGAAUGGCUUCUUCGAUUUCUGAGCUCACCUCUUCGAUCUCUGAAAUCCCAUCGCGUGCUGAUUUUUAUAGAGGUAUGCAAGAUGUUCAAAGCACACUUGAAUUUCUGCCUGUAAAAACUCCCAUUUUGCACUUCUACAAUCUUGACUUGUCCGAUCUCCUCUUUCUUUAACACCUCUGAAAAAUGUCUGGCCCUUCCGACCGUCAUUUUGACUUGAACCUUGAUGAAGGAGCAGCCCCUCCUUCUCCAGACAACAUAUGGCGCCCGUCCCUCAUAUCCCCUACUGGUCCUCUCACCGUUGGGGAUUCGGUGAUGAAAAAUGACAUGACCGCUGCGGUGGUGGCCCGGAACCUUGUCACCCCCAGAGAUAACAGACUGCUCGCUAGACGAUCUGAUGAAUUGGCGGUUAAGGAGUCUCUGGCUCUUAGCGUGCAGUGUGCGGGUUCUGUGUCCAACAUGGCCCAACGCCUAUUUGCUCGAACCCGUCACGUUGAAUCGUUGGUGGCUGAAAUACAGAGUCUCAAAGAGGAGAUUAGAGGACUCAAACAUGAAAAUAAACAAUUGCACAAGCUUGCACACAAUUAUGCCACAAACAUGAAGAGGAAAAUUGACCAGCUGCAGGAAAAUGAUGGUUAGAUUUUACUUGAUCACCGGAGGUUUGUGGGUUUGUUCCAACCGCAUCUGCCUUCGUCUUCUGGGGCGGCACCGCGUAGCGAAGCUCCAACUGAUCAACCUCCGAUACCUCCUCCUUCUGUGGCCCCACCGAAUGCUGAGACUCCGCCGACUACUGCAACUCCGCCGACUACUGCGACCUCUCCCAAGCAGCCUUUGUGAAGGCUUUCUCUUGUAUUAUGCUAUGUUUCUUUAUUUCCCAGUUUGCUGUUCAUUUCCACGAAGUUUAAUGUUAAAAUCCUUUGCAUAUUUGUUAAUGUUUCAAAAUAGAAAAUCACAACCAAAAAUAAUUAAACAAGUAAUAAAAUUGACAAUCAAGCAGAAUAAAUGGGUUGCCUCCCUUAAAGCGCUUGCUUUAACAUCUUCCAGCCGGACGAUGAACACCUUCACUUCUCCUUGGAACCCAUGGCAUGCAGUGGGAUCUCCUCCACAACAUGCUCCACAAAGUGCUCGUAGUAUGGCUUCAAGCGAUGUCCAUUCACCUUGAAUUCUUGCCUGGUUCUCAAGCUCUUAAUUUGGACUGCACCAUGCACAAAAAGAUUAGUAACAACAAAUGGGCCAACCCACUUGGAACGUAACUUACCAGGGAAUAGACGAAGGCGGGAGUUGAACAACAACACUUUCUGCCCAAUUUCGAAAGUCUUGCCUCGAAGCAUCUUAUCAUGGAAUGUCGUGGUCUUCUCUUUGUAAAUUCUAGCAUUCUCAUAAGCUUCAUGCCUUAUCUCAUCAAGUUCACUCAAUUGAAGCUUUCGAUGAAUUCCGGCUCGAUCACACAUCAAUUCAAAGGGAAUGGACCAAUCCGGGGGAGUUAUGAUGGGUGCCGUGGUGAUGAGGUCCUUAAGAUGCUUGAAUGCUUGCUCACACGCCUCGUUGAACUCGAAAGGCACUUCCUUUUGUAGGAGACGGCAUAGGGGUUGUGCAAUCUUGGAAAAUCCUUGAUAAAUCGUCUAUAGAAUCCUGCAUGACCAAGGAAAGAACGAACCUCUCUCACCGAAGUGGGAGAGGGUAAGUAGCGUACAAGAUCUAUUUUAGACUUAUCAACUUCAAUUCCACGUUCAGAGAUAAUAUGACCCAAAACAAUACCUUGUUUAACCAUAAAAUGGCAUUUCUCCCAAUUUAACACAAGGUUUGUUUCAACACAACGUUUCAAGAUUAAAGUGAGAUUAUCCAAGCAAUUAUCAAAGGAAUUACCAAACACACUAAAAUCAUCCAUGAAUAUCUCAAUAAUCCUCUCAACAUAAUCAGAAAAGAUGCUAACCAUACACCUUUGAAACGUGGCAGGAGCAUUGCACAAACCGAAUGGCAUGCGUCGAUAUGCAAACGUUCCAAAGGGACAAGUAAAAGUGGUCUUUUCUUGAUCAUCCAGGGCAAUAACAAUUUGAUUAUAACCGGAGUAUCCAUCAAGAAAGCAAUAAAAGGAAUGACCGGCUAACCUUUCUAGCAUUUGAUCUAGGAAUGGCAAUGGGAAGUGAUCUUUCCUUGUGGUUGCAUUUAGCUUCCUAUAAUCAAUGCACACUCGCCAACCGGUUUGAAUUCGGGUGGGCACAAGCUCAUUCUCCGCAUUCUCGACAACCGUCACUCCAGAUUUCUCGGGCACACAUUGGAUAGGUGAAACCCAACGGCUAUCGGAGAUGGGAUAAAUCACCCCACAAUCUAGAAGUUUGAUUAUCUCCUUUUUCACAACUUCCAUCAUCGGAGGGUUAAGACGGCGUUGAGCCUCUCUAGUUGGUUUGGCCCCCUCCUCUAGAAAUAUGUGAUGCAUACAAGUCGUAGGGCUUAUACCUUUAAUAUCGGCCAAUGUCCAACCUAGGGCAGAUUUGAAUUCCUUCAAGACACGCACUAGCUUCUCCUCCUCUUGUGCCGUGAGGGAUGAGGAGAUGAUGGCAGGUAGCGUCUCAUUUUCCCCCAAAAAGAUGUACUUCAAAUGGCUUGGUAGGGGUUUGAGAUCAAGUAUGGGUGCCUGAACGAUGGAUGGAAGCAACUUGUUAGUCGAAAUUGGAAUGGAAUUAAAGUUAGGAGACUUACCACCAUGCUUAGGUAGUGACUCAAGGGCAGCAACCAACUCAAAAAUUUCAUCACUAGGAGGCACGACAUGGCCUAGUCCAUGUAUGCCGUGGGUUACACUAGAAUCUGCCCCCUUGGUUGUGAGUUUCAUUCCUCGUGUAAUGACUUUUUCAAGCGCAUUGUCAUUCAAAUCUUCAAGAUAUCCCUGCGCCAAAGAGUCAAUUAUAUCAAUAGAGAAACAUGAAUGGUCCUCACUAGGGUACUUAAUGGAAUCAGAGAAAUUAAAAUUAACAACUUCCCCAUCAAAUUCCAUGGAUAACGUUCCACUAUACACGUCAAUCUUCGUUCGGGCCGUCUUCAUGAAUGGCCUUCCAAGGAGGAUAGGCAAUGAAGAAGCAUGAUCUGAUUCAUCCAUUUCGAGCACAUAAAAAUCUACUGGGAAGACUAAAUGAUCAACCUGCACCAAAACAUCUUCCAACACUCCCUUUGGAUAAGCGUUAGAUCUAUCGGCCAAUUGUAUGAUUACACCAUCAUGUUUCAACUCACCUAAGUUCAUAGAUACAUAAAUGGAGUAUGGCAUAACAUUUAUAGAGGCUCCUAAAUCUAGCAUGGCAGAUUUGAAACGAGUGUUACCAAUGACACACGGAAUUGUAAAGCUACCCGGAUCUUUGCAUUUGGGGGGUAGUUUACGUUGCAAGAUGGCGGAGACAUUUUCACCUACCUUCACAACCUCCUUGGUUGAAAUCCUCUUCCUAGUGGUGCAUAGCUCCUUUAAAAACUUAGCGUAUCUCGGGACUUGCUUAAUGGCAUCCAACAAGGGUAUGUUGACUUGAACUUUCCUAAGUGUCUCAAGGAUGUCCUUUUCAGCUUCUUCCUUCUUUGUUUGCACAAACCUGCUAGGAAAAGGAGCAUUCGAAGGCACAACAUAGUAGGAACCGAAUUUGAGACAUUCUUACCUUUAUUGGAUGAAUUGGACAGAUUUGGAGCCAUGGGGGCUUGCGGCAUAGGUGUGUCCACCUUUGCUGUGGGUGGGCAUGCUUCCUCCUCCUCAAAUUGAAGUUUUUCAUCCUCUUUGUGACCUGUUUUUGAUGAAGAACCUGCCCCAGUCUCUUUUCCACUUCUCAAGAGUAUGGCCUUUGCACUUUCAAAGCCUCCCUUCGGAUUUGGAAUGGUAGAACUAGGAAGCCUUCCUUGGUUUAAUCUGCCCAACAACGUCGGCAAUCUGCCCCAUUUGUUUCUCUAGUUGGUCCACUCUUUUGUUUUGAUUUUCCUGCCCAUUAGUCAAAGUGGUUAGUAACUUAACAAGUGUAUCAUUAUCCAAAGCAUUACCUGAAUUAUUUGGGGCCGAUUGUGGUUGGACUUGAAGGGGUGCGUAUGGUUUGUUGUAGAAGCCCGGGGGUUGUUGCCUAAAGCCUCCUUGUGGUUGGGCUUGUUGUGGCUCUCUCCAUUUGAAGUUUGGAUGGUCUCUCCACCCCGGAUUAUACGUGUUGGAAUAUGGAUCAUGUCUUGGCUGAUUUUGGCUUUGAAACCCAAUGGCAUUAGCGCUCUCCCAUCCACCAUUCUCGAUGAGUUGAGGACACUUUUCGGAUGCAUGUCCUUGGAUAGAACAUACGCCACACACCAUGGGUCCUUGAAUCUUCAUUCCCUCGGCCAUCUGUGAAACAAGAGAAGUAAGAUUAGCUAACUGAGAUUGAAUAUUGGAAGUGGAACUUACCUCAUGCACUUGUUGCCGUGGGGGUCCUCUUUGGCCUACACCCUCGUAUUGUUGAGCGUUCAAUGCUCGAUUAGCAAUCAAGAUUUUUGCAGCCAUGGGCGUUUUGUCUACCAAUGCUCCACCCGUCGAGGCAUCGAGCAUUUGACGUUCUAGUGGUAGGAGCCCUUCGUAGAAGUAUUGCAAAAGCAAUUCCUCCUUCAUCUGAUGCUGUGGACAAGAAGCAACAAGUGAUUUAAAUCGCUCAUAAUAUGUAGGAAAAGACUCACCUUCAUCUUGUUGAAUUCCACUUAUUUUUUUACGAAGAAGAAUGAUGCGAGAGGUUAGGAAAAACUUCUCCAGAAACGCCCUCUUCAUACUCUCCCAAGAUGUAACUGUACCGGGAGCCAACUCGUAUAACCAAUCCUUGGCUUUGUCCAUUAAAGAGAAUGGAAAAGCCUUCAUCUUUAAAAUACUUCCGUCAACGGUAACCGGAGUCAUUCUUGAGCACACCACUUCAAAUUCUUUCAAAUGUUUGUUCGGAUCCUCCAUGGACAGCCCAUGGAACUUUGGAAUGUGGUGGAGCAAACUUGACUUUAACUCAAACUCUUCAGUUUUACCUUGAGCAGCCAUGGGAUAUUGGAUACACAAUGGUGCGGCAUUAUCCAAACCCGAGGCGGUAAGCUCCUUGAGCGUACGGUUGUCCAUGGCUAUACCUUGCUCUUCUCCACCCACUUGUGCCGUGGGCUUCUCUUCAACCUCAACUUCUUGCUCUUCUAAUUCAAGCUCGGGACUAGGAGGAUUAGACUCUUGCAAUUUCUUUUUCCUUCUCAAAGUCCUCUCAAAAUCACCGUCAAAGUCGGAGAUAUGCUCACGAACAGGUUGUGAGCUACGGGUCAUAAACUAGUACCUAAAAACAAAGAAAAAAAACAAAUCAGCAACUUAAACAGAAACUUAAACAAAAUACAAUAAUUCGAAAGAAAACAAUCCAAGAGAUUAGCAAAGUUGCUAAUCCCCGGCAACGGCGCCAAAAUUUGAUGCGAAAUAUAUAAGCACACAAAUUAAACCCUCUUUUUAUCAAUUGUAGUAAAGUUUGUAAGUAGGGAUCGUUCUAGGCCGGGGAUUAGGAGGGAUUGCUAAAUCACUUGGAAACUGACUUGAAAACGUGAAAACAAAGUUUAAAACACUAACUAGACUCAAAGAAUGCAAAACUAUACUUUAAAACACUAAAACAAACCAAAAGACUUAAAACAGCCCCUAAACACUCAAAACUACCUUAAAAACACAAUCUGGGCAGUUUUGGGACUCUCACACAACUUGGACAAAUUUUGGUUUUCUAAUGAACUAAAACACUUAAAAACAUAAUCUAAGACAAAUUCUAAUUAAUAUGACUCAAAGAAAUAAGAUGGGGUUGAUUUUCGACGAAAAUAAUUAAAUUAAGACAAGAACAAAGUAAACAAAUUCUUAGACAAAUUUGGGUGAAUCAAAACACUCUAACACACAACCAAAACAGAAAUUAAACACUUUGAAACAAUAAAGUAAAAGGGGGAUUUUGGUUUUAAUGAAUUUGAAAACAAAACAGAUUGUAAGUGAAUUUGAAUGAAACUUAUGGAUGGAAGAUUAGCUAGGAGGUUCUUCUCCACAUAUGUCACACUUGCAUACAAAACGAUUUCCAGUUGCUUUUCGAUAAGCUAUGAAUACUCAACGCCCCAAAUUAACCGUGAAUUGCACUAAUUAACCCUCAGUUUUUUCCACAAGUUAUUAGGUUGGAUGAUUGCAUACGACAACCCAAAACAUUCCCUACAAGUUCCCUACAUGAAUUGCAUAAUAGAGAUACAAGCAAGAAUCAUUAAGUUCUAUGAAAAACAUAAGCAUGGACGAGGCACUCGUUACUAUGAUUUGCAUGAAACUUAUGCCAAGAGUUUACUUAACGUGAUUGUGACUAGCAACCUUCACUACUUGUGAAUAUAAGUUUAUAACAAUUAGGUGAAACUCCCUUAUAUUCUAGCGUCAAAUUCAUACAUGAAAAUUAAGCGUGCACUCUUAACCAACAUACACAAAUUAGUUUUUAUAUGAACGGAUAAGUAAAUUGAAUUCACAACUUAUGAAUCACAACUGGAUGUAAUCAAAUCAUAUUGCAAGUAUGAACAUAGUUUCGAAUCACCCCCUAACUAAGAGGGGUUUAGUUCCUCAUACUCACAAAGCAAAGAUACAUAAAAUUAGACAUUAAAAUCAAAGGAAAGAAAACACCUAAAAUGCUCCAACUUGGUAGCAAGUGCAUCCAAGAUUCCUCCUUUCCCUUGCUUGCGGCAGAUUGGGUUAUGGACAGAUUUUGUGUAGUUUUAUGAUGUAGAAUGGAUGGGGAAUGGUAUGGAAGGGUUUAGGGUGAGUGUGGAGGAGUGUUUGAUGGUUGGAGGGUGGUGGAGAACUAGGCAAAGAGGGUGGAAGAAGGUGGAGUGGCUGUUAUGUUUUCUAGGCACUAGAAUAGUGUUUUUGGGGUGUUUUGCUUCCUAGGGUGUGUAUGGACGAAUUUUUGUGAUAAAAUGAUGAAUAUGGGGGAUUGUCCUUUGGCCAAGGGAUGUAAACAUGUAUUUAUAGGCCCCCAAAAACCUUAGAAAAUCAGGUUAGGUUAAGGAUGAAAUGCAUGGCAAUUUGUGUGUGUGGUGUGCAAUGGUCCAAGGGUGAAAAUGAAGUAAUGAUGCAAAGUGUGAAGGGUAAAAUGGAGUGGUGUUGUAGCUAGGGAGCAUGAAUGAUUGUGUACAUUGCAUAGAGAUGGAAAGGGAGGUGAAAUGUGUCAACAAAUGGGUCAAAUGUGCAACAACAUGUGUUGCACAUGGCAUUGGAUUCCAAAUGUGAAUGAUGGAGCAUCAAUUGGUGCAUGUAAUGGAUGUAAAUAUUGUCUAAAAUCUAAUGAGUGAAGGGAACAAGAGGUAUCAAGCAAUUGAGUGUAAUAAUUAAAAUGAAUUGAAGCAUGAAAUUAGAAAUUAUGUAGGGGACAAGAGUGAUCAAGCAUGGCAUGGAAUCCAAAGGGAAUUCUAUGUGGUUUGCAUGGCAAGGAAUGCAAGUUGGGGUGACAGAUUUUUGGGCUGUUUUCUUCAUCUUUUGGACCAUAAUUCUUCAUAUUCUUGGCCUCUUUAGUUCUCAAAAUCGUCCAUCCACUUGGCCCAUGCAUUUGCUAUCCAUUCCAAGCCCGAAACAUGCUCCAAAGGCCUCCAAAAUGCAUCUUCUUGCAUACUUUGUCCAUAAAAUCUGAAAACACACGAAAAUGACUUUAAACAUUAAAAUAACUAAGGAAACACGACAUAAAUGCACAAGAACAAGCCAACUAAGUCGCAUAAAUGUGCUCCUAUCAUGACUGUCGACUAGUCCCCUAGCCACCUGAUAUGCACUCCAAACAGUAAGCUUACCACUUCAUUCAUAAUGCCAAAUGCGCCGGCCUUCAACAUCCCUUACACUAAGGGAAAUACUUCGAAUUAUCUCUACUUCUUCAGGUGAGAAGGUAUCAACCAGCAACAGAAUAUCCCAUUGCUUCAUCCCACUCUAGAAAAGUCGUUCCACUGUGUCCUCCAUAUCCCAGUUCACCGGUGGGGGUGUUAAAAUCUAAAAAUAAUUCUCUCUGGGAACCCAACUUGAAGGGAAAAUUAUGAGUUUAACACAUGGGAUUUCUAAAUGACUAGCAUGCAUAUACAAUUCAAAAUUUAUAUACAUGAGCAACGGAAGCAAUUUAUCAAAUAAUAUCAAAGCUAUAGUCAUGCAAAUCCCCUUCAAGGUUCAUAGGUUUAUAUACAAUGCAUCAAAACAUUUUAGUAAAGAACAAAGUGAAAGUUUAGUCUUAUACCUCUUGAUCUAGACUUGAGACCAAGGAUGGACCACCUCUAAGCCCUUUGUUCCUUGAAGUCUUUGAGCCUAGCCUCCCUCCUUGCCUCCUCCACUUUGUUAGUAAGAGUGCUCCAAGGUUCUCCUUUAGUCUCCAAAGGAGAAGACCUCUAAAGAUCCACACCCAUUAGUGUAGUGAGAUGGAUGGAGGAAUAACCAAAAGGGUGAAAGAUUGUUAGCCAAAACACCCUCUAGGUGGCCGGCCUUUGUGGUUUUAGAGAGCUAUUUUUCUUUGCCUCUUGUUGUUCAAAAACACACAAAAACUCUAAGGAUUAAAACUCUAUAAAGUUCCUUAUAUAGACAAAAAGAAACCUAGUCAACAACUUGACUAAAUAUCUCUCCCAAACCCUUUAAGUGGUCGGCCCUUUAGUGUUUGGUUUGGGCUUUGGGCUUUUAUUAUUUCAAGUCAUCCUAUGCUUGAAUAAAAGCCCAAUGGGUUUAGGCCCAAUGGGCCCAAUUAAACCCGAACGUUUCUUUAAGCCCAAAACGAUCUUUUAUCGCUUUUAUGAUUUCUUUAGACUUUCUAAAUUAAUCACAACACUUAAUUAAUCCAAUUAAUUAUUUCCAUCAUCCAUUAAUUACUCACUACAAGAGUGUAUCGGUGUACAAUCAUUUUAGGUUCUAAUUAGCAAGGCAGUGAGGUGAUUGACAUCAAUCCAAUUGAUUAUAUUUAAUCCAAUCACUUAGUAAAUUAAAAACUUCAUUUUAAUUCACCUUUCUUCUUUGAUGACUACAUUUAAUCAUCUAGAAGAACUCACAAGCUAUGAGUGACAUCUAACCAUAUGUCAUAGCUACCCAAGCUAAUGUAGAAGUUGUUCGGAGAACCUAUUCAGUUGGAAUUACAAUGUAAUUCGAUCCUUCUCUAAAACAAUACUCUCAAUCACAUUACUAGGGUAUGGAUAUAUUAUGUCAAACCCCUAAUGUGAUUAUUCCUUCUUAUAUGAUUCUAUUGAGUCGUAUAGGAACGCUUUCCUUUAUUACGCUUGAUACUUCGGCCGAAGAUUCCCGAAUCAUAUCUUAGAGUAUUCUUCCCUCUAAUCGAGGAUUAGAGAUUCCUUGUUGCGCAUUCACUUGCCUUCAUGACUAAGUGGCUUAAACCCCAAUUAUGCCGUGGACAUCCGCGAAUGGGGUGACUUUGACAUAAUCAAAGAUUAAGUACUUAGCCACAAGACAACGACGAUGCCUCAGGUCAAAGGACUACUUACAUUAUUCCAACCAUUAGAGUUACUUGCUUGACAUGUGAGUAGACCUCCAUGCAAGUACUCUCGUUCGAUUGUGUUCAGUGAACUAAUUCCCUUAAUGAGCACCUACAUACUUGUCUUAGUGUCACAACACGAAUGGGAUGAGACUUUCCAUCCUUCCAUUUGAAGCGGACACAGUAUGUACCGGUCUAAGCAUUGUCAGUUUCCCUCCGACAAUCCAAUGACUAGGAACCUUUUUGGACAUAAUGGUUAUGUGAAGAAGGUCUCUGUAGUCUAACAUCAUUAGAUUACUUCUUCAAUCGAUCUAUUGUCCAUGGAUACACUAUUUAGGACAUAUAUCGUUUAUUGAGAUAGUCCUAAUUCGUGUCUUUGCCAUUUGAUGUAUAAGAGUCAUCCAUACAUCGAUUCAUUUGUCCUGAAAGGUUUCUUCCAAAGAUUGACUUUCAGGGCAUAUUUCCAACACAACUAUCCUUCCAUAUCUGAAUCUUCUUGCCAUUACCCACUUGCAACCGAUGGCCUCGGUGAAUCACCUCCCUCAAGGCUGCAAUACUCCUCCAUACAUAAGAGUUAUUGGGCAUUACCAGUGCAUCCAUAAAUUCUGACAGAGGGAAAUACCGAGCUUUGAACACCUGGAAAGCGAGGGCGUCAGGUUGCUGGAGGAAUCACCAAGCCUGUUUUGCUAGAAUAGCCAAAUUAAAAGCAUAGAGAUCUCUAAAACCGAGACCCCCCCCCUCAUGUUUAGGCUUAUAUAAAAUCCACCAGUUAAGCCAUUGUAUUUUCCUUUUCCUGGGAUCACCACUCCACCAAAAUUUAGCUAUCAUCCUAUUCAGCUCCUCACAAAAAGUUUUAGGUAGCAAAAAGCAUUGCAUGGAGUACAUAGGUAAUGCUUGUGCCAUCGUUUUGACUAAUAAUUUGCGACCCACACUGCUUAAUAAACCACCCUUCCAACUUUGUAACUUCUUCCACAAUCUAUCCUUUAUAUAUGCAAAAGUUUCCUUUUUCGAUUUUCGAACUAGAAUUGGCAAUCCCAAAUAUUUAUCAUGAAACUCCACCCUUCUUAUACCGAGACAAUCAGCUAACAACUGCUUAUCAAAACUAGUAAGAUUCGGACUGAAUGAGACACAACUCUUCUCGAAAUUCACCGCUUGACCCGAAGCCAUCUCAUACAACCACAAGAUUUGUUUGAUCUUCAGACACUUUCCAACCGUACCACGAGCAAAUAGAAAGCUAUCGUCGGCAAAAAAAUAAGUGGUGAAUACUAGGGGCCCCUCGGCACACCCUAAUCCCCUGCAAAUCCCUAUCGGCCACUACUCUUCUCAAAAGCGCCAAUAAGUCUUCCGCAUAAAUAACAAACAAGUGGGGAGAAAGAGGGUCACUCUGUCGAAUACCUCUUGCCGGAUGCACAUAGCACACCAGGUCCCCAUUCACCUUAAAAGAAUAAGUUACCGUAGUGACACAAAGCAUAAUCAUACGGGUCCAAUGCUCUAAGAAUCCCAUACGACCCAUCACAGCUUCCAAAAAGCCCCAUUCCACCCGAUCAUAUGCUUUUCUAAUAUCUGAUUUCAGGGCCAUAGGCCCAUUAAACCCCGAUAAGCGCUUAUGCAUAUAAUGAGCUACCUCAGCAGCUACCAAAUAAUUAUCAGAGAUUAAACGGCCAGUAAUAAAAUCACUCUGAGUUGGGGAAAUAAUACAUGGGAGAAUAACUUUCAAUCUAUUUGUAAGUACCUUCGCAAUGAUCUUAUAAAGCACACUACACAGACUGCUUGGGCGUAGUUGCAUCAUCAACAUUGCAUCCUUCACCUUAAGGAUUAGUGUGACAUGGGUAUAGUUUAUCUUCCGUAAUAUUUAACCCAAGGAGCAUGGAUCGAACACCAUUACAUAUAUCCGCACCCACCACUCCCCAAUGUUUUUGGUAGAAAUCAGGAGACAUACCAUCAAGGCCAGGGGCUUUUGUAGGAUGCAUUUGGAAGACGGCACUUUUAAUUUUCUCAUCCGUGAAUGGGCGCUCAAGAUCGAUAUUCAUUUCCUCUGUAACCGAAUGAGCAAUAUGACCAAGAAUCUCCUCACAGUUUAGGCCCCCAUUGGAAGUGAACAACUUUGAGAAAUACGACACCAUAACCUCCUCCAUCCUUGCUCGGUCGUCAUGCCAAACACCUUCAUCAUCCAUAAGGCCAAAUAAACAGUUACGUUUCUGUCUCCUAUUCACUUUCUGAUGGAAGUAUUUUGUGUUACAAGCAAGGUAUAAAAUAUCGAUGAUAUCGGAAAUAUCGGUAGUCCAAAAACAUAGAAAUUUCGAUGGAAAUAUCGGGAUAUUAUUGAUAUUGAUAAAAAUUGAAUAAAAACCACGGAAAUUGUAAGAAAAACUUGGAAAUUUUUAUUGAAACUUUGCAGGAUGUUUAUUUAGUCAAUUAUCUAUUAGUUUAUCACAAAAAAAAAUUGGAAGGAAAUGCGUUGCAUGAUAGAACUAACUGAUUUAAGUUGAUUAUAUAGUGAGCUGGCAACAUUAUGAGUGUAGAAAAUAUGUAGUAAUUAAUGAAAGAAGUUUAAACACACCAUAAUCAUUUAUAUAUAAUGAAUUAGUACAAUAUUUUACACUUUAUACAUUGCAUGGUAAGACACAUGAGUGACUUAGUAAGGUCUAAAAUAUCGAUGAUAUCGGAAAUAUCGUUAGUCCAAAAAAAUAUCGGUAGUCCAAAAACACGGAAAUUUCGAUAGAAAUAUCGGGAUAUUAUGGAUAUUUUAGACCAUGGUUACGAUCACCUAGCUUGAGCCAAUUUUCUUUAGAUCGUUGCCUCAAAAACUGCUCCUUUUGCCCAAGAAGUCUAUUCAAUUUGCCAAUCAAUUCCUUUUUCUGCGCAAUAGACUCCUUCAAAAACGAGUGCCCCAAUAGACUCGUGAGCUUAUCCUCCACUUCCCGAAUCUCAACAGGUCUGGUUCCAACAUUGCUCCUCGCCCACCUAUUUAGCAUCAUUCGAGUCAUCUUUAUUUUCUCUGUAACUUGGAACAUCGGUGAACCCUCAACGGUAUACUCCCACCCAUCCCGUACCACAUCCGCCACCCCCUCCUGCAUGUGCCAACGCUCCUCAUACCGAAACUAUUUUUUACCACGAAGUGGAGUACGGCCUGACCAAUUAAGCAACACCGGAACAUGAUUAGACUUCGUCUUGUUCAAAUGCUUAACAGUGAAACGUGGAAACAUGUCCACCCAUUUUGAGUACACAGGGCUCAAUCCAAUCUUAUCCUGAUUCCACCACCCCUAGUUGUAAACCAUGUAAACUUGUUCCCCGAAUAACCCUAAUCAAUGAAGUUACAAAACUCCACAAUCGAUCGAUAUUUUAAAAUCUCUUUUUUUACGUACUAUACUCAUUAAUAUAAGCUAUUCUAUCUUUUGUCCAUAGCUUUAAUAUGUAAUGAGGAAGGGAAAAAAAACUCAAUUUAUCCAGACUUGCAACAUAAACAAGUUACCAGGGUUGUCAUUCUUCUCAAAGUCUUAAAUCUUGGAAGUCAAGACUCUUAACAACUCUAUCAUUUUCUUUUCUCUAACACUUUAUGCUAUUGCAUGGAAUUAGUAAGCCAUCUCUUAAUUUGUAGUAGGAUUUCCAGCUACAGUGAAUUGGUUUUAACUAUCCGGAGAAAUAUUUAAAUUAAUUAAAAUAAUGGAAUAAGGGUUAUGAAGUUUAUAUACAUCCAUAUAUUUUUUGGGCAUGGAAAUGUAGAAAAUAGAACCUUAGCAGGUAAGGAAUUAGGAUUUAAGAGAGAGAGAGGGAAAUGUAGAGAGAGAAAGAAUUGUGUGAAAUAUACUUUCCAUUAAUCACAUAUCUAUGUACAUUGAGUAUUUAUACAUAAAUAUUGAGAUCAACACCUUAUGUUAACUCAUCACUACCUUAACUAACAUAUAGACUAAAGUACUAAUUUGGUGCUUCACAUCUUUGAUAAGAUUGUGAACCUUCAUUACUCCUAACACACCCCCUAAAGUUGAAGGUAGAAGAACGAACUGAAAGCUUGUCAGCCAAGGAAGCAAACCGUGCAGCAUGAAGGGACUUGGUGAAAAUGUCAGCAAUCUGUGACAAUGUGCCAACAUGUUGGACACCAAUCUGACACAAAAGAAUCUUCUCACGGAUGAAAUGGUAAUCAAUUUCAACAUGCUUGGUGCGAGCAUGAAAAACCGGAUUGAAAGCUAAUGUUAUAGCACUCUUGUUAUCAUAGAAAAUAACAGGUGGUCGGAGAAGAGGAAAGGAAAUAUCAGAAAGAAUCUUGCAAAUCCACGUGACCUCUGCAGCACUAUUUGCAAGUGAUCGGUAUUCAGCUUCAAUGGAGGACCGAGCCACUGUGUUUUGUUUCUUAGCACUCCAAGCCACCAGAUUUGAGCCCAAAAAUACACAAUAUCCACUGGUAGAGCGUCUGUCAACCGGGCAGCCAACCCAAUCAGCAUCAGACCAAGCUGUUAGAUGUUGAUGACCUUUUGUAAACCAUAGACCUAAGUCAAUGGUACCUUUGAGAUACCGUAAGAUACGUUUGACAGCCUGCAAAUGAAUAGUUCUUGGGGCCUGCAUGUGUUGACAAACUUGGUUAACAGCAAAGGCUAGAUCCAGUCGAGUCCAGGUAAGGUAUUGCAAAGCACCAACAAUGGAUCUGUAGGAAGUAGGAUCAGGAAGAAGGGCACCAAAGUGAUCCAGUUUGGAAGAACUAACUGGAAUGCUAGAAGGUUUAGCACCCAACAUAUCUGUUUUCUUAAGUAAAUCCAAAGCAUACUUUGAUUGAUGAAGAAAUAAGCCUUUGGAAGACCUUUGCACUUCAAUCCCUAGAAAAUAGUGAAUAUCACCAAGGUUUUUAACAGGAAACAGAGUUUGAAGCUGAGAGAUGAUGGUUUGACAGACUGAAGAAGAGCUGCCGGUGAUGAUUAUAUCAUCCACAUAAACUAAGAUGAAUGUAAUAGUUGUAUCUUUCUUGAUGAAGAGACUAGUAUCAGAUGUAGAAGAGGAAAACCCCAAGGAAAGAAUGGCACUAUAGAAGGCUUCAUACCAGGCACGAGGAGCCUGUUUAAGACCAUAUAAAGAUCGCUUAAGCUUGCAAACAUGUGUAGGUUUGGAGACAUCAACAAAACCAGGAGGAUGCAGCAUAUAGACAUCCUCUUUCAAAUAUCCAUGUAGAAAUGCAUUGCUAACAUCUAAUUGAUGUACAAACCAAUCAUAGUGAACUGCAAUGGAAAGAAAGAUCCUGAUGGUUGGUGGUUUAGCCACAGGACUAAAAGUCUCUGAAAAAUCUAAACCUUCUUGUUAAUGAAAACCUUUAGCCACUAAACGUGCUUUAUACCGUUCUAUAGACCCAUCAGCUUUAUGUUUCACUUUGAAAACCCAUUUACAACUGACAAGAUUGUAAGAUGGAUGAUGAGGUACCAAAUCCCAUGUACCUAUGGAUUGAAGGGCCUGAAACUCAGCUUUCAUUGCUGCCCUCCAAGAAGCAUGUUUAGAAGCCUGGAGAUAAGUAGUUGGUGUGGAUAGAAUCUUGGUGAGAGGAUCCACUGAUGAAGGAAAAUGAUGCUUAGUAGCUGUGAAAAUUUUGGGUUUGCAGAUGCCAGCCUUUGCUUGAGUAAUCAUAGGAUGAGUGUUGUGAGGUGCCGUUGGUGAAACAUGUUCCUCAAUACUGGAAUCAGUGACUGAGAGAGAUGAUGCAUACAUGGAUGGUGCAUGGGAGAUAUCAAGACUUGCAGAUUCCUGAGGUUAAGAGACAGCACUGAAAGAAGAGAUGGGUAUAGGUAUGGUCACUGAAAUCGGAGAAGAUGCAGGAUUGGAAUUGGAGAUUGCAGAGGACUGAGGAACUAAGAAAUUGUGAUGAAGGUAAGGAAAAUAACUCUCAUCAAAUACAACAUGCUGAGAGAUGUAAAGUUUCUCAAUGAGAGGAUCAUAACACCUGUAGCCAGUGUGAUUUAAAUUGUAUCCCAGAAAAAUGCACAGUUCGCUUAUAGGUUCUAACUUGUGACUGGAGUAAGGUUUAAGCAAUAGAUAACAUGCACAACCAAAAGAUUUCAAUGUAUGAUAUUUGGGUAAGGCUUGAAACAAUAUCUCCUAUGGACUCAAGAGAGAAGUUUGUGGUGGCAACCUGUUGAUGAGAUAAACUGCUGUUUGAAAAGCUUCAACCCAAAAUUUAGGAGGUAAACCACUUUGAGAGACUAAAGUCUUGCCCAUUUCAACAACAUGACGAUGUUUCCUCUCAGCACACCCAUUUUGUUCAGGUGUGUGAGGACAACUCAGUUGAUGAGUAAUACCUUGAGCAUUAAAGAAACCCUGAAGUUCGUUGCUUAAAAACUCACCCCCUAAAUCUGAUCUCAAACAUUAAACUUUGGAUGCAAAAAGUGUUUGAACUUUCAAAAUAAAAGUUUUGAGGACUGAAGGAACAUCCGAUUUGAGAAAUAAAGGAUAUAACCAACUGUAUUUUGUGAAAUCAUCCAGUAGUAUUAAUUAGUAUCUGUAACCAGUACAAGAGGAAGUAGGAGAAGGUCCCCAUACAUCAGCAUGAACCAAAUGAAAAAGCUUGACUGAGAUACAAGGCAAAACAAAGAAUGGGAGCUUAGAAGCUUUACCCAUUUGACAAGCUGCACAAAUGGACAAUUUAUUGACGGAACCAGUUACAGGUAAAUGAUGAGUGCGUAAAACAGAAUGUAAAACUGCAUUAGAAGGAUGUCCAAGCCUUCUAUGCCAAAGAGAAAUAUCAGCCUUUGCAACCAUCAGCGCACGAGGAGAGACAGUUAUCCUAGAAGAACCAUCAGAAGCAUUCCAAUAGAAUGGAUAAAGACCACCUUCACUGGGGCCCUGGAAGAGCAUCUUCCCAGUUCUUAGAUCCUUGAUGUAGAAUCCAAAAGGGUCAAAUGCUAGAGAGCACCAGUUAUCAUGAACAAAUUUGUACACAGACAACAAAUUAUGCGAAGCUUAGGGGACAAGUAGGACAUUGUUAAGUCCAAAAGCAACAUUAGAUGUGCGUAUAAAGCAUGACCAAUAUGAGAUAUGCACAGACCUUUACCAUCACCAACAAAUAGCUGCUCAUUGCUAGUGUAAGGAAUGGCAGAAUUGAGAGAAGAAGGAUUUGGAGUAACAUGGUGAGAAGCACCACUGUCUAUGAUCCAGUAAUUUGGUGUAGCCUGAUGUACUGCAGUCAUAGCCAUAGGAGAGUAGGCUGGAGGCAUUGAAGAAGCAAAUUGAGAGAGUCAGCCACACUGAAGAGCCUGAUGGCCAUGUUGAUUACACAACUGACAUGGAUUUGAUUUCCCAGAGGAGAAAUUCGAUUGAUUAGAUGAUGCGUAAAAUAACUAAACACACAAAUUAACCCUCUUUUUGACAAUUGUAGUAUAGAUGUAAGUAGGGUAUCGUUCUAGGCCGGGGAUUAGGAGGGAUUGCUAAUCUAUUCUAAAUUAAUUUAAAAAUAUUAAACAAGACUCAAGGACACAAAACUAGGCUAAAAGCUCUAAUAACUCGAAACACACUUAGAAUGACUCAAAAUAAUGAAAACAAUCAAAUUAGACACUAGGAACUGAAAUGGACGGAAAUUGAAUUAAAAGACUAACAACAAUGAAAACUAACUAAAUAAUAUAAUUUAAUAAUGGGGAGGGUUUGGUUUUUACGAGAAGUAAAUUAAACUUAAAUAAAUUACAGAAUUGACAAAAGCAUGAAAUUAAGGUGAAAGGAUUGGUGACGGACUAGCUAGAGGGUUCUUCUCCACACAUGACACAUAUGCAACCUAAAUUGAUUUUCAGUUGUUCUUUCAAUAAAUUGUAAAUCUCAACGCCCCAAAUUAACCGUGAAUUGCACUAAUUAACCCUCAGUUUUUCCACAAGUUAUUGGGUUGGAUGAUUGCAUACGACAACCCAAAACAUUCCCUACAAGUUCCCUACAUGAAUUGCAUAAUAGAGAUACAAGCAAGAAUCAUUAAGUUCUAUGAAAAACAUGAGCAUUGACGAGGCAUUCGUUACUAUGAUUUGCAUGAAACUUAUGCCAAGAAUUUACUUAACGUGAUUGUGACUAGCAACCUUCACUACUUGUGAAUAUAAGUUCAUAACGAUUAGGUGAAACUCCCUUAUAUUCUAGCGUCAAAUUCAUGCAUGUAAAUUAAGUAUGCAUUCUUAAUCGACAUACAAAAAUAAGUUAUCAAUCAAGCAGUUAAGCAAAUUAAAUCACAACUCAGAAAUCACAACUGAAGGUAAUCAAUUCAUAUUACAAAUAUAUUCAUGGCUUUGAAUUAACCUCUAGCCAAAAUAAAUUUAGUUACACAUAAUUCUCAAAUUAAACCAAAAGUAAAACAUGAGUUUGAGAAGAUAAAACCAAGAAAAAUAAAGUGAAGCUUCUUCUUCCCUUCCUGCCGUCUGUUUCUGCCCGUGUCUCUCUCUGCUUCUUAUUUUUCCGUGCCUCUGACCUCUGCUCUUCUCCUCCUGUUUCUUUUCUUUAUUUUCUGCUUCUGACCUCUGUCAGUCUCCCCCCUUUCCCUUUUCCUCCGACCUCUCGUCUCUUUUUCAUUUUUUUAUUCCUCCAUCAUUCCCUUCUGCCAUUUCUUUUAUUUCUUUUAUUCUUCCACUGGUCCAUGUCUUCCCAUCAAAUUCUUUCUUUUCUUUCCAUUAGUCUUGCCGUGCAUUUUCUUCUCCCUUCACAACAUGAAUCAUGAUGAUGUUUCAAACAUCAUCAUGACUCAUCAUUAUCUCUUUUUUUUUUAUUUAAUUUAAAAGCUGAUCUACACAGACAGUUUUGACGAAUUUAUUACAUAAAAUUUCACUUGUUCUAUUUUUAUUUUCUUUGCAUAACAAAUCCUAUAAACACAAAAAUAACGUAAAUAGCUCAAAAAUAUAAGGAACUAACUAAGAAAAGACGAGUGAAUUCGAAGUAAAAAUAUAUAUAAAUAUGAUCCGAUCAUUAGACGGAAAACCACUAGAUCGAGAUGGACCAGCACCAAGAAUUCCACCAUUUUGAUUGGUGAAGCGAUUGCCCCCAAAAUUUCGAUUUUGAUGGAAUCUAUUGUGAUUUUGAUUACGACCUCGAUAAUUCCCUCGGAAUCCAGAGUGAUGACCAGAGGUAGUAGAGGAUUGAGCAGUAAGAGCAUGAAAUGGAGUAAAUGUAUUAGAUGCAGUCAAUCGAGUCUUACGUUUUUGAAAAGAAAUUUCCUUACUCAAGAGUAAACCAUGAAGUUCAUCAGAGGUUAUAGACUCAUUUCUAGUUUCGAUCGAGUCAACAAAUGACUCAUAAUCAUCAGGAAGACCAGACAGAAUAUAGGCUACCAAAUCAGACUUAAAAAUCGGCUCACCCGCAGCAACUAAUUUAUCAGAAAUUUCUUUAAUCGAAUUGAGAUAAUCAAUCAUCAAAGAAUCACCUUUUUGAAUCGUCUGAAUCUUAGCACGAAGACUAUAAAUGUGUGUAAGAGAAGCUCCAGCAAAACGUUUUUCUAGAGAAAGCCAGAGAGAUCGAGAAUCAUGCAUACCAACAGUCAGAGGGAAAAGAUCUUCCGAGAGAGUCGAAUUGAUCCAAAUCAUCAAGAUUUGAUCUCAUAUACACCAAAUGUCAUGCGCUGAAUUAAGAACACGAAGUCCAGCGGAAUCACAAACAAAUUGAGAGGGGCAUACAUCGGUGCCGUCGAUAAGCCCUAAAAGCUUAAAUUGCUUCAGAACUCGAAGAAAUAUAUUGCGCCAGGUAAUGUAAUUGUGACGAGUCAACUUCGUCGGAACCAUACCGGCGAUGUUCUGAACAGUGAUCGAGGCAAUCGGAGCAAGGAGAGGAUUGGAAACCUCAGCGUGAAGAGCAGAAGCUAAAGAAUUUGCAGGAGAGAAGAGUGGGAGGAGUUCGCCGCUGUAGCCAUAGCGAAUCACACAAAAAAUUAAAGAAAAAAUUGAGACAAGAUCUGUUUGGCAGGUGAGAAAAUGCAAGAAAAUCAAGAACGCAGAAGCGGGAGAUCAACGUCGGUGGACUCCGGCGAGGAUACCAUGUAGAAAAUAGAAUCUUAGCAUGUAAGGAAUUAGGAUUUAAGAGAGAGAGAGAGAGGGAAAUGUAAAGAGAGAAAGAAUUGUGUGAAAUAUAUUUUCCAUUAAUCUCGUAUCUGUGUACAUUGAAUAUUUAUGCAUAAAUACUGAGAUCAACACCUUAUGCUGACUCAUCACUACCUUAACUAACAUAUAGACUAAAGUACUAAUCUGAUGCUUCACAUCUUUGAUAAGAUUGUGAACCUUCAUUACUCCUAACAGGAAAUUCGACAAAGUAGUUGAGGUAAGGACUCUCUCUUGCAUUUACAACAUCCACAUGCAGUUUCCUUUCGAGCAUUUCAAACCUUAAGAGGCUCACAAUUUCAAGUCCCUCUCGCUCCUCCACUUAUAUAUGUCCCCGAAAUAACGUAAAAUUACAAACCCUCUCAUGUAAAUGUUGGCAAGGAAAAUGAAACGUUAUAGCUAAAUGAUCCCUUUUCUUAAUCUAUAGCCAGGGCAUACGAUUCCCUUUUUGCUGAUGAAAUGCAACCAGAGACUAAGUGCUGCUUUUUGGGAAUCCAUUUCUUAUGAAAUGCUUUUGAUCAGGAAAUCCUUUACAAAGCUACCAACUUUGAGCAAGCGGAACAUACAUAGGCAGUUAAUAGUGUGCAUUUUUGCUUACCACGGUCAAGUGUUGGUAAUGAUUACCAUCCUACUUAUUAUCAUUGAAUGAGUUAAAUUUGAUAUUUGUGUCUAUCAACUACACAAAUCUUGAAAUUUAAACUCAUCUAACGGUAAUAAAUAGGAUGGUAAAGAUCAUCGUUACUUGGGGUAGUGAGCAAAAAUAUUCUGUAGGUUAAUAAUAGUAAAGAAUAAUAAAACCGUUAUUAUAAUAGGUAGACGCCAUAUAUAAAACUGUGAAAGUUACAAUAAUAGGUUCAAUUAUUGAUAGUGGUCAAGGUGGAAGAACAAUGCCAGCCAUAGACUUUAUUCUAAGGUCAUGGAAUGGAAGCAUUCCUCCUGGAGACAUACAAUAAGUCUUAACUGUCAAGCUCGAAUUUUCUUCUUCUUAUUGCAACCCCACAAAUUUUAAAUGCCUUGUGAUCUUACACUAUGUUUGAAGAAUUUCUUACUCCUUAACUACGCUAAUUUGAAGCAACUAUAUUUUUCUUUAAUACAAUGUUAUUAUGAAAGGGACGGAGAGAUUGGCUACAAUGAGACAAACAUCAAAAUUUGAUAUUGAACUCUAUGUAUAUGAGAGUCAAACCUAAAAUCUGUCACCUAUAAACGGAGAGAGAUCCUAGUAAUAAGUGACAUAGCUAAAUAAAUAGUUUAGUGGUAUCUCAAAUUCCAAUGAUGAAAUAGGUUACCAAUUUCGAAACCCUACUCCCCCUUCUACAGUCAGUGACGGAUCUGGCGUAACAAUCAUUGAAGGAGGGGGGCAAUAACAAAUUUGUUAACACUAGUAUAAUUCCAUUCAGUUCAAUUUGUUGUUAGCCAAUUAACAUGGAAGCUGAGAGGGCCAUAACAAACUUCAAUCCACAUGUAGAUGCACGAUGCUAUUCUUUUGACUAUAAUGUUCUUUGACUGAAAUCUUGUUGGUUUUCAGUUUUUUAUCAGUCUCUGAUAUUGAAGUAAUAAUGUAUUUCUAUGUAGGUUAUUAUAUUUUUUCAAUUAAAAUUUGAAAUUUGUAAUUAUUUAUAUUAACAUAUAUUUGAAGAAUUAAAAUAAUUAUUUUAAAUAAAUAAAUAUUUUAAAUUUAAAAAAAAAUAAAGUUGUCGAAUUUUUUAAAGUAAAGUUUUAGCAAUGCACUUACAUAUUGUUGACAUACGCGUUCCGUAUUUUACUAACUAUGGUUAGGGCUAAAAGGCUAUAAAUAAUCUUUGUUGCCUAAAUUUUUUUUUUUUUCACCCCAGAUUUUACUUAUCAAUGUUUGCAUUCCUUGUAUAAAAUUAAAAGUUACAUUAUUAACAAUAUAUCAACAAUGUUUAUGAUAAUUAUAAAUAGGUUAAUCAUUUAUUGUAUAUGCCACUAUAGCGGAUACCCACUUCAACUGACACCAUUUUUUCCUAGUUUUUAUAUUUUGGAAUAAGUCAAUACGAAUCAGACAUUGCAACAUAGUGUCUGUUUCUGUAUUAUGUUUUCUACAUUUAGAUUCAAACACUGCAUUGCAGUGUCCAUUUCCUGAUUUUAUUUUUUUCAUCACUCACAUGCCUCCUACAUGUCUUUUACAUUUGGAUUCAGACACUGCAAUAGAGUGUUCAUUUCCCGGUUCUUUUUUUUACUUUUGGAUUCGUACGUUGUGUUGCAUUGUCCGUUUUCUGGUUCUGUUUUUUUUUUACUUUUGAAUCCAAAUGUAAAAAUCAGAAGUCGCGCGAGGUGAAGCAUAUAUGCUUCACCUCGCGCGACUUCUGAUUUUUACAUUUGGUUCAAACAUUGUAAUGUAGUGUCGUUUCCUACCUCUGUUUUUUACAUUUGGAUUUAGACACUACACUGCAAUGUCCAUUUCCUGGUUUUUUUUUUUUUUUUUCUCAAAGAUAGAAUUUAUUAGAUUCUAAUUUACAUCUUCCCCCAGGAUAUUGAAAAUAAAAUCUGGGCCAAUAAAACCCCAUAAAUAAAAACCUCCAUACUUAUAGACAUAAGAGGUAACAGCAUGAGCAGUGUGGUUGCACCUCUGAUAGGCAUACAUGAACGUUGCAUUUUGGAAUGUUUGAGCGAGAUUCUAGAUGUCAUCAAUGAUAUUCUCCAAAGAUGCAUCGGUUCCAGUUUCCUUUUUAAUCAUCUGCACGAUUAUCUUUGCAUCAGUUUCAAUCUCAAUAUACUAGAUGCCUUCCUUUGCACACUCCUGCAGCGCUGCCCUCAACGCAGUCGAUUCAGUUAUUUCAUCAGAAUGGAAAUACAGGUCUCCCUAUCCAACUGCAGAGUGCAACAGGCCAGCAAAGUUGCUUAUAACCCAUCCCACUCCACCUUUAUGUGAUUGUGGAUUCCAGGCUGCAUCACAAUUCACCUUAAGUGUCCCAAACUCUGGUCUUUUCCAUCUCACCAUUCUUCCUGCAAAAUCCAGUUCAUUGGUUCUUCCAUUGCAUUUGUGGUUGUUGUGCUUCCCCGUUGUGCUUCCUUAUAUUCAAACAUUUAUAUUAUGUUUCUCACAUUUGAAUUUAGACAAUUCAAUGUAGUGUCUAUUUCCUGGUUCCGUUUCCUUAAGUUGAGUAGACUCCUCCAUGUAAACGAAUGGCGAGAGAGAGAGAGUGAGAGGAUAUUCAUGUUCUUACUAUUCAUAAUAGCUUAAAGCUCAUAUGACAUUCAUAGAGAGAGAAAGACAGAGAAUGAUAGAAGAGUCAAGUUAUAACUAUUUAUAAUGACUUAAAGCUCAUGUGGCAUUCAUCAUUGACCUAUGCCUAAUUAGUAAAAAUAUACCAUAGAUUAAGCCUAGAACAAAAAUAUGCCAUUAAUAUGUGGCUAAAUAGUAACGUUUUUAUUGACUUUUAACUAAAUUACCUAAGAUUUUAUUUGAUUAUGUUAAAGGGUGUUGGAACCAAUUGUCCAACAUCGGCCAGACGGCCAAAGAGAAAACAGUUUAGAUAGAAAUACCCCUCUUUAACUAACACCGAUGACUUUUAUGAUAAAAACUCCACACCUGACGGAUUGAGUAGGUGGUAAAGUAGGAAUAAUAUCGGUGUUGUUAGGAUGGACCCUUGGCUCGUCGACCUGAAAAUUCUACAAAGGGAUAAAAAGUUAUUACGUUUUUAAGAAGGGAAUUCUGAAGAAAAGAAAAAGGAAAACGUAAGGGAAUAUUGUUAAUAUUAAUCAACUUCAAAAAAAAAAAAAUUAUCAUACACUUUCAAAUUGAAUAACAUUACAAAAUGUGGAAAGCCCAAACAAACAUAGUACAAAGGCCACAAAGCAAAAUUAGAAGAUGCCAACUCAAGCCUUAUAUCAUGCAUACAAGUUAAAUAGGAGAAAAUUGAACUUUUCCCUCAAUUCAAUUUACUAGAACAAUACUUUUCACGUAAUCUACAACCCUAUUCUCAUUAAUAAUAACAGGAAUAUGAAGAUACUUGAAGUUUCCGGUACAAGAAUUAUAAGAGGCAGCUCUUCCAUCGGAGGCAAUCAUAAGAAGCUCAUCACGUUUCCAAGGUGUCAAUGGAAACUCCAUGUCUUUAAAAGGUCCAACAGUUAGGUGUUUUGUCCAUGAACUCUUAA
Molecule: long non-coding RNA, 83682 nt
Filed under: Malus domestica (apple)
Lineage: Eukaryota; Viridiplantae; Streptophyta; Magnoliopsida; Rosales; Rosaceae
Description: long non-coding RNA (MDOM_LNC017794)
Source: RNAcentral